AUAUCUUCCUCUUGAUAAGAAACACCAAUCUUUUUUUCCAAUUCUGACGGCUUCAUCAUACAAAGUACUUAUAUUUUGGAUUAAUAAAGAUAGAAAGUAAAUAUAAUUUUAGGUCCAAUCAUAAAAUGCAGAGUCUCUUGGAUCAUGCUAUCUAAUAAACUUUAAUGAACUUUAUAUUUUUCAUGUGUCUUAGCACAAAUGAACUCCAUAAUUUUCAAGUGUCUUAGCACAAAGGUCAUAUCUCCGCCUUCAUUUUUGUCUUGCAACUUUAUUAAGGUUUCUUAGGUUUUUUUAUCACUACCAAUUUUAUAGAAAUUCACAACAACAAAAUUAUCGUUAUAUAAAACAUAAAAAAUCCAAAUAAGUAAUAACAAUUAAAAAUAUUAAAAAUAUAAUAAUAUUUUACAACGAUAUUUUUAUUCGUUACAAUUGUAGUUGCUAAUAAUACAUUUUCUAAUAGAGUUCUUUGUUUUCCUUUCAAAGUCCGUAUGCUUUUUUUUUCUUCUUCUUCCUUCAUGUUUGAAGACUUCUAGCGGAUGCCAAGUGCCUUGUGCUUUUGGCUUUUACACAAUUGAAAUUGUGUUUCACUUUCCAACAAAACUGUCAAGUCUCUAUUACAGAAACAGUGACCCAACUACUUGCGAGGUCAAUAAUGGGUUAAAGGAUCGAUGGAUUAAGUAUACAUAAUGUUAUAGGUGAAAAAAUCGUUGGUUUUCUUAGUAGGGUUCGAAUUAUCAAAUGAAUUAUUGUGAACACUUAAUUUUGUCUGAUGUCAUUUGAAAUUGUUUUGAGUCCCAAUUGUGGUGAGCUAUGAACUAGUCCAUUUCUUGGUGGAGUUGUUUAUGAUUUGAAUAUUUUAAAUCAAAGGCUUAAUGAGUUAAUUUUGGUUUAGUUUAUCGUAUUGGAUUUUGAAAAAUAAAUCAAAUAAAUAAAUUUAAAAUUUUAGAAAUAAAUCUCAAGUGAAGGAGAGUUUUUGGACUUGAAAUGGCUCCGGCCGAUGGUGUUUGGCAACGACUUGUGAAGGCUGACGUGGUGCUCGCUAGUUGAAAUCUGAAAAACUAGGUUGAAAGAUCAUUUGAGAUGUAAAAGAGAGGGAGGAUAAUAAAAUUAGAGAGAGAAGCUAGCCAAAAGAAAUGAAAGAAGAAGACAAAAUUUAGCUUUUAUAGCAGCAUGAAACACUAUAUUUCAAUUAAGUAAAGAAGAUCCAUGCCUCAACCCGGAUUUGGAUGGGGAGCUCGCGCUUGAAACCCAAACCUGUAAAUUCAACACUAAGCCGCACCACUGAGUCAAGCCAAGAUUUUAGCCUUUCCAAGCUAGUUUCUGUUCCUUCAACUGAGUCAUUUUCUAAUCCUCGUCAAGCCGAAUUUUUUUUUGUAUAUUUUUUUAUUUAUUUUGUUUUAUUUGUUUAUUUUUGAAAUAUUAUACAUGUUUAAAUUUUUAGGAAAAAUUAGAAGAACUAAUUAUAAAAAUAUAUAAAAUAAAACUUUAAUAAAAUUUUAAAAAUAAAUAAUAAUUAUCCAAUUAUUAGAUUAUUAGAAAUUACAAAUGGUUAAUUUCUAAAAAAUUUUCAGGCAAGAAAUUUUUCUCUAAAUUUUACCCAAAUUAAAAAAAAAAUUAGGUAAAAUUUCAAUAACAAUAAUUAAUAUUUAUUUUCAAAUUACAAAAGAAAUAUAAAUAAAUUUAAUAAAAUUUUAAGGAAUGAAUUAACAAUUAUUCAAAAGAUGAAAUUCUUAAAAAUUUUAAAUGGUAAAUUUUCUAAAAAAUCUUUAGGUGAGGAAUUUAUCUAAAUUUAACCCAAACAGUGAAAUAAUUUUAAUGAAAUUUCAAUAAAAGUAAUUGUACUCUUCUCCAAACUAAGAAGUAAAACCAUAAAAUUUUGUUUGAAAAUAAAUUCCAAUGAUGAAAUUCUUAAUAAUUGCAAAUGGAUGAUAAUCUAAGACAUUUUUAGGUGAAAAAAUAUUUCUAAUUUUGGUCCAAAUGAUGAAAAAAUUAGACAUAUUUUCAAUAAAAUGAAAAUUUAACAAAAAAUAAAUGAUUAAGUUUUUCUGACGACGGAGCAUUUUCAAAAAAAUAAAUAAGAUUUUUAAAUACUCUAGAGGUAAUGAAAUAUUUUUAAGAAUUCUAUCAAAUUAAUAAAAAAUUUUAAAAGUUACUUUCAAUAUUAAAUUUAAGACUAUUAGAACUAUAAAAUUUUAAGAUAAUUUAUAAUUAAAUGGGCAUAUAUUAUAGAAGUGCUAUAAUCUUCUUUACAUUUAACUGAACUUUUAAAUCUAGUUCUGUUAAGAAGAUUAGAACCUAUUUUUUAAAGAUUGAUAAUCAAGUUUAGGAUUGGUGGUCAAUCAAACUUUAAUAAAAAAUUGAUAAAGAUUUUUUAAAUUAUAUUUAAUUAUAAAUUUACGAAUUUAUACGUUAUGACAAAAAUAAAAUAUAUAAAAAUAGAAAGUUCAAAAAGUAAAGACCUUCCAAAGUGAGAGUGUUUGGUCCCAUUUGAUAGAAAAUAUAAUAAAUAUAUGUGACAUUCUUUAUAUGCAUGUGAUGCAUAUGCUACAUAUUAAAUGGAGAGUUGGUUAGGGAGCAGUCUUUUCGGAAACUGGCCUACGACAUUGAACCGUUAAGGAAUCAUGAGGGCUAUGACUUGUCUUCUGAACUGGUCAACUAGUUCAAUCAUUUUCAUUGCCUAAUCAAUGAUAAUUAUUAAAAUCUAGUGGAGUAUGUGUGUUCUUUUUUAAUUAGAACAUGUUCUGAAUAUGUAUUAGCAAUUUGACAAUAUUUGUUUUUCUUUACGAAGAAGAUAGCAACUAUAAGAAUAAGAGAAGGAAUGCAAGUAUGAGAAUUUGAAUAUCAGAUCUGUUCAAUGUCUUCUUUUAAUGAUACAAUUGAAUGAAUCAACUCAAUUAAACUUUGAGUUUGAAAACAUUAGGUUUGAUUAGUAUGAUGGUUUAAUAAUAAACUAAUUGAUUAGUUUGAGGUGAAAAUUCAAAAGAAGAUAAUCAAUUAUUGGUUUAAAUUGGCUAUUUUGAUAUUGGUUUUACAAUCACUUGUUAGGAAGGCAUAAUAUAUCCUAGGUCAUGUCUGCAAGAUAUAUAACUAAUUCAUAGACAAACAAUUCUAACAUAGAUUAAGCGCAUUCGACUUGAGUUUCAAUAUAUAUCUACCAUAAUAUAUAUAUAUAUAUGUAUGCCUUUUCCCUAAUGAGACACUCUAAUAAUUAGAACUUGAUACAUAUAUUAAAAGUUUAAUUAGAUCUUGGGAGAGUUUAUAAAAUAGGAUAUAUAAUUAAAGCUACCUUUCUUUGUUUAACUCAAGUCGCUUGUCUUCAACAUAUCUUUAAAAGUAUUUGAGUAUAUAAUUGUAAAUCUCUUAAUUAUUAAAAAAAUUUUUAAGUUUGUGACACGAAUAAAAUUAUAUCACCUCAAUCGAGGAAUUAAUAAAGAAAUCAGUUAAAAAAUUUUAAAAUAUAUUUACUAAUAAAGCUAUAAUAAUAAUUUGAAUUUCUAAGGAAGGAAUUCAAAUUUUAAAAAAUAAUUCAUCAUGUUUAUGCUCUAUUUUGGAAAUUGUUUAUUCCAUCAUUUUCUCUUUAAUUAUUCCAUUUUAAGAUAACUAUAAACUUUUUCCUUUAUUCUUUUAAUAUUUAUCUAACUAUGUUUCACAAUUGGAUGUGUUAUAUGACCAAAAUUAAAUAGAUCAUUGACUUUUGAAAUGCUUGUAUACACUCUAUGGAAUCGAUUAUGAAUCCAUUGACUUUGUAGAUUCAGUGUUAACGUUGGAGAUAAACUCUGUCAUAUCAAGAAAAGAUUGAUAUAUCAUAUCAACAUUGGCUUUCAAUGUUUUUAAUGUCAGACGUAUAAGUCAACAUCCGUUAGCACAGAGUUCCAAAAAUUUCUGUUUCAUUCUUUCUGAGAUGCCAAUUUCUUCAGUUUGUCUGCUACUAUUUCUAGCUAACCAUGAAACUUUCCGAUCUUUCUUUUCUUUCUAUCUUCACUAAGAUAUGUAACCAUUGCUUUGUUAGCUUUUCCUUCAUUGAUAAAUUAAUGCAUUUAAUCCGUGUCCUUUACCUUCCUGCUUUUUACUCCCACUGCUGAAAGAAUGAAAUAGAGCAAAAACAAAAAAAGGAUGAGAGUUUUCUCCUCCCAGCAGCUGUUGUAUUGGCAGCAGUAAUUGUAAUUUGCAUCCUCAAUGGACCUAACUUCAGUCUUAUAAUAUUUAAAAGCGGUAAAAUUUAAAUCGAAUUAGAUUUGAUUUAAAUUUUUUAAAUAAUAUUUAAUAUUAUAAAUUUUUUAAAUUCAUUUCAAAUUUGAAUAUAUAUAUAUAUUUGAAAUUAAUUUAUUCGAAUUGAAUUUUAUCGGUUUAGUUCAAUAUGAUUAAUCAAUUUUUAAAUUUAAUUUUUUGUUUUUUAUAUAUUAUUUUAAUAUAAUUUUUAAUAUAUUUAAAUAAAUUUAUAUAUAAAAUAAUUAAUUUUUUUAUAAAAUUUAAAAUAUAUAUAAAUUAAUAAAAAUAUAUAAUUUGGUUUGAUUUAAUUUUUUUUUAUUUUUUACAUCUCAAUUAAGAAUUUGAUUUGAAUUUAAUAUAUAUAUUUAAUAUUUAAAUUUAAUUUAAUCAAAUAAAACAAUCCUAACUAAAUUAAAUACCAUAGUUUUAAAUUAGAUUUUCAUUUUUUUUAACCCUUAAGAAUAAGCAAGUGAAGCAAAAAACGCUUUUAGUUCAAUUACCACCUAAAUCAUCACGUCACAUCGUUACAGUAGUGAGCCCUCCCCUCCCCACCGCCAGUCUCCAUCCAUCAUUUUUCUUUUAUUUCUGAGCAGUGCUCUUUAUCUUAUCCACCUCGUGCUAUAACACCGCCAUCAUUCACAAUAUACUAAUAUUUCUUAUUCUUCUAUCUUUGUGGGUAUUGGUUGAAUUAUUUGAUUCCCUACCAACAUCAAUGGAUUGAGAAUUUUUUUUAAAAUGUUCACAUCUAAUAUAUAUAUAUAUAUAUAUAUAAAUUAGUUGAUAAAUUUAUUAAUUUUAUAAAAAAUAUAUAUAUUCGAAAAAAUUUAAAUGUUUAGUAAAAAAAAUUUCUUUAAAUUUUCUUAUUUUUUUAUUUUUUGGAUGUCUACAUGAAAAUUCUGGAAGUAUCCAAUAAUUUAUUUUUUCAAAUUUUUAAAUUUUUAAUUUUUGAGAUAUACAUAGAUACUCUAAUUUAUAAGGUGGAUCCACCUAUGAUAAUAUGUAAUAUUGUGGAUAGGACAAACCCUUUAUUGCCCAAACUUUUAAUAUUAAUUUAAGAGUUCAUAUUUGAUGUAUUAUCAAUAUAUAUAUGCUAUACAUGAUCGAAACAUCACACAAUGAUAUCUCAUAAAAAAUUUAAUUUUAAAAUUUUAAAAUAUUAAAAAAUACUCUUAAUCUUAAAUAUAUAUUAAAAUUUUUGUAUGACGUAACAUUGUGUGAUUUAUUGAUAAUGUAUAUUAUUUAUAUGCUAAUAGAUCUACUACUUGCUUUCUUUGCUUGAGUAAGUUCAUGCAAUAAAUAUUACUGCUAUAAUAGUUUGUUUGAAACUUGAAUCAGUUCUCUUCCAUUUUUGUAUGAUUGCAAUCUAUAGUUGGUCACAGCUUUUCUGAUUAGCUACAAACAUCAAUUUCUUUUCUAAUCAAAAAGCCAAAGUUUUCCUUCUUCUCUUUUAGGGCUUUGAAGAUUUCUAUCCCUUGCUCUCAUGGGAAGCAAUCUAGAUCCCUUUCUUUGCCUUCUUUUUGUCUUAGAUUUUCAUUAUAAAAAGGAUAUUGGAACGGUCUUUCGUGCUUCGCUAGGCCUUUCCUUCAUUGCUAACACAAAACAAUGUUGCUCUCUAGUUUUGACUAUCGUAAUUCAGUUCUUAAAAGUUAUUACUUUUACUAACGACCGUGAGACACACGUUCGAAUGCAGCAAAUAUAGCCUAGAUGCUGCGGUUCAAUAAAGUUCGGUUUGGAAAAAAAUGUAUAUUUAAAAAGUAUGGUGAAAAUUUGAGGUAUGAGAUUUUUAAUAUUUGUUAUUAUUGAGAAAAAAAUCAUAUUUAAAAGCAUAAAUAAGCCAUUUUUAAUUUUAUUUAAUUAAAUUAUAUCAAGAUGUAUAAAAAAUAAUUGUAAGACUUUAAUUUUAAAAAUUAUACAAAAAUACAAGUUUUAAAUUUUCUUGAAAAGAUUAAAUAUCUUCAAGCUAGAAAAUAGAUAGUUAUAUUCCCUCUAUAUAAGUAAUUCAAAAUAUAUUAAUAUAUCAAAAGAUGAGAAUGCUAUAUAUUUAAAAAUAAUUUUAAAAAAAGAAAACUUUAAUAAAAAAUGAAAAAAAUAAUUAGGGAAUAAUUUUUUUUCAUAAUUACAAAAUAAGGAGGGUAUUUAAUAACUUCCCUUCAAACAUAGUUUGCAAAUCACAAAAACAGCUCCCUCCCAAACCAUGCCAUGUUUGUCAUUACGUUAGUAGUCAAAACCUGUGUUUUGAAAGUCAAACACAAUGCAAAACGAUAUCUAAAUAACAUAAAACUUUUAUUAAUGUUGAUUUAAUUAUAUUGCAUUGGAUUUUAAUAACGUUGAUUUAAUUAAUUAUUUCCGUGAGAAUAAAUACAUCAUAAUUAGUAGUACAUGAAACUUUUAUUAAUUUUCAAUAAUGUUGAUUUAAUUAAAUUCAAUUGAAUUUUAAUAAUGUUGAUUUCAUUUUUUCCGUGAGAAUGAAUCCAUCAUGAUUAAUAGUGCAUGAUGUUGCUGAUAGCUUUGCUAAAUUAAGAGUGAAUAGAUCCAAAAUCUUAGAAUGGUAAAGUUAGAUGUUGGUUCAUUCUUUUCAGAUGUAUAUUUUUUUUAGUAAGAUAUGCUACUCGAUGUUUUGCUAUUCUGGUCAUUGUUUUGUAUCUGAGUUAUUUAUCAAUGAAAAUUUCUGCCUUUCAACAAAAAAAAAAAUAGUGCAUGAGUCUUUCACUAUGUUGUUCCUUCCUUCCUUUGUUCCUUUCCUUUCUCUUACAUUUUUUAAACCUAGAUAAACAAGUAACAAAAUAUAUAAUUGAGUAUUCAUGAAUUAUGAAUUUGUUAAUGCAUUUUUUUACAUUAAAGUGAUAUAUAUAUAUAUGUGUGUGUGUUUAUAUAUAUGUGUGUGUAUGUGUGUGCAUGUAAAAAAUUAUCUCAUACAUUGUCAAUAAAAUUAGUUAGAGGAUUGACACACGAUCAUUUAAGAUAUGUUUAAAAAAUCAAAAGAUUAAAAUAAUAAAAAAAUAAAACAUGCAUGACAAUUUUUAACUCAACCUAUGAAGUUUUUUUACUCAACAGAGCAGUAUAUAAAUAUAAAUAUAUAUAUAUAUUUAUUAAGGAAUAUUAUCUAUUUUCUAUUGCUUUAUUUAGCUUUGUGAUUUUGUGAAGAAUAUAAAUUGGAACUGUUUGACUCAUCAAAACAAUUUGAUUCAAAUCUGCAUGAAUUUUACUCCUAGUUGACCCAAAAUGUUAAAGUCAGAAAUCUCAUAUAUAUAACUGAAGCUGGAUAUAUUGAUUCAAAAAUUGAAGGACAAUAUAUAUGCAUGUGUUUAUUAGUUUUACAUGCUUAUUUAUAUGUAGAGUCCAUGUGAAUUUGGGUUUUUCUGCAUGAAUUCAGAACUUGUUUUUUUGUUGGAUGCAGCAUAAGAUCAACAAUAGAGAGGUACAAGAAGGCAUGUUCAGAUAGUUCAAACACAAACACUGUUACUGAAAUCAAUGCUCAGGUAAUUAAUUUAUUGUCAUGAAGCAUGCAUGAAUUUGCAUGGCAAGAUUGAUGACCAUUUUCCACAAAUUUGUUCAACCAAUGAAUCUUACUUUUUCUUGCUAUUUUGAUUCAUUGAACUGGCUGUAGUAUUAUCAGCAAGAAUCGGCCAAAUUGAGACAGCAGAUACAAAUGCUACAGAAUUCUAACAGGUAAUUAAUAUCCUUGAACAAUGAUGAUAUGAACAAAGAAAAAAAAAAGGUAGCUAGCAAUGCCAGCUUAAAAAUUCCGGGGCACUAAGCAAUUAUAGAUAACAAAGCUUGCUUUUCAAAAAUAAAACUUGAAUUUAUAAAUGAAGAUUGAAGAUCUAUAAAUUAAACUCUAUUGCCCAAUUAUAGCAUUUUCUCCCAUAAUUUCCUGCAUUUAAGAAUUUCUUUUAAGAAAAGAGGAAUCAUAAAGAUUGAUGCAAGGAUUUGGAUAGAUUUCUUUUCAUAUAUGCAUUGCACUUAUAGAUUUCUUUAUAUAUAUAUAUAUAUAUAUAUAAAUUGAAGAACAUAAAAUUUUGACAAAAACACAUUUGGUAAGAAUCUUUUAUGUUGAUUCAAUAUUGAUAUAUAUAUAUAUAUAUAUAUACAUACAUAUAUGUUGCUUAUACAGGUUUUUUUUCUUUGUUUGAAGGCACCUGAUGGGAGAUUCCUUGAGUUCCUUAACUGUUAAGGAGUUAAAGCAGCUAGAGAAUAGGCUUGAGCGUGGCAUUACUAGGAUCAGGUCAAAGAAGGUAACAAAAAUAAGAAGGAAAUAUGACAAUUUAAAUGCAAUAUGACAAUUAAAUGCAUCUAACUCAUCAAUUAUUUAUGUUCAUCAAAUUAUCAAUAUUAUUCCAUAAUUUUUUUUUUUUUAUGUUCUUUUAUAUAAUUAACUUUGGUUUCUUUUUGCUGCAACAGCACGAAAUGCUGCUAGCUGAAAUAGAGUAUAUGCAGAAAAGGGUGAAUUCUAACUUUCUUAUGACUUUUUCUAACGUUGUUAACCCCAAUUCUAUAUUUAAUGACUUUAUAUAACUUAAGUUGUACCUUAAUUUUCGCUUUUAUAUAGGAAACUGAGUUGGAAAAUGAAAGCGUUUGUCUACGAACCAAGGUAAACACAUAAUUUAAUGGCUUCCCUAAUAAUAUGAUUAAAGGAAAUUUAUGCUAAAGAAAUAUGCCUUGCUAUCCCAACACAUACACUUAUGCAUUUAUGUACAUACACACAAACUAAUUGUUUUGGCAUGGAUACAAUAAGUUUGUGUAUUAUUAAAGAUUAGUUACGGGUACAACAGUCAUGUGGUCUGUCGUUGUAUCUCUAAUGUAAAAGUUUACAAUUUAUAAGAAGUGACAGUAUGCCCUAAAUAUCUGGUGCUGUUGAUUGUUUUUGGUCUUAGAGAGACUAAUUUUAUGCAACUUAUGUCAAACGCUAGAUUGCAGAAAUUGAGAGGCUUCAGCAGGCAAACAUGGUGAGUGGACCAGAGCUCAAUGCAAUCCAAGCACUAACUUCUCGCAAUUUCUUUAGCCCAAAUGUGAUUGAGGGAGGAAUUGCCUACUCACACCCUGACAAGAAGAUUCUCCAUCUUGGGUAAUUCUCUAUUGCAUUUUAUUUUUACCCACUAAUUUGUUUGCUUCCAAGCAGUUUUGUACUAUUAAUUUCUCCAUAAAUGAUUCUCCAAGCAUGCAAAAAUGAUAUUGUUACUACAUGAGUCAAUUAUUUAUGUUCUAUAAUUAGGUGCAAUUUCUCCUAAAAUAUUGAACUUGAAGCCUGCAAAAUAAAAUUUCAAAAUCUACAAAACAUUCUUGGUAAUUAUUGAUAAUGAAAAUAAUUUUCAUCUUGUAUAUAUUAGUCUAUCUCUUAUAUAUACAAAGGAGAAUAUAGUUUCAAGUUAUGAAAAGAAAUUAUAAAUCUUAAAAUUUAAAUUUCAAGAUACCAAUUGUUCAAAAUAAUUGCAUAAAUUAACUAAACGAAAAUUUGAAUUUGUAUAAUAAUUGUUUUUGCAUGUCAACAUGUGUGAUAUUUUGUUUUAUACUUUUACAGUUUUACGUUUUUUAAAUGACCAUAUAUAUAUAUACAUUAUUAUAAAUUCUUAUACUUGACUUUAAUUUACGUUACAAAAUUAAGGGAUGGGAUUAAUAACUAAUUGUUUGCAACACUGAUUGCAGGUAGAGAGUUGGAGAGAACAAAUCUGAAAAUGGUGUUUUCAUAUAAUAUAUAUGAAAUAAGCAUGCAUUUGAACCAUUUGUACGACUAUUACGAAGUUGGUGUGAUAUAACUGUUACUGGUUAUUUGCUUGUUUUUAAUUGGAGUAGCACUCUCAUUUAUGGAACGUGCAUAUGGUUAUGUUUAAUUUUGCAUGUGAAACUGUUUAACGUAUUAAUUAAUACUAUGAAUUCCGUAGAUACUUUAUUUUAUUCAGAAUCUUUUAAAAAGAUUUUCAACACGAUUUGAAUGAAAUUAAAUUUAACUAUUAAUUCGGUUCCUUGAUAUCGAAUUCAUGUCAAUUUAAAUUUCAUCUAAAUUUGGCUUUAGAAAGUGUUAGGCCAAUUUUAAAUUCAUCACUUUGGGCUUUAUUUUACCGUCGGGUUUAUGGAUAUUUUAAUUUUCUGAACCAUAAUUUAGCAAAUGUAACAUGCUUAAAAUUUAAUUAUUCUCAACCUAAACUAUUAUCUUUUUAUUAAAAAAAAACAUCUUAGAUAUGCAAAAUGGAAAAUUUAACAAUUCUGAAAUAUUUGAAAAUAUAAAAAUAAACAUUGGAUCAUAAAUGGUAUCGAGUUUUUACUCAAAAAAAUGUAUAUUGAUUUUAAAUACUCCUUUUAUCUCAAAUUAUUAAUUCCCUUUUACUUUCAUGGAAUUUAAAAAUAGUAAAAUAAAAACUUUGAAUUAUUUGUUUCAAUUUUUUUAUAAAUUUAAUGUUCCAUCAUUUUUAAUGUCUAAAAAUAAGAAAAAAAUAUCAAGAAAAAUAAUUUUAGAAUACAAAAAAAAAAAAAAAGAUUUAAGUGUCACAAUAAAAAGAAAAAAUAGUUUCGGAAUGAGAUAGAAGAAGCUUUCGCACUAAACUUCUUCAGGAAAAUUACAAUAAAAAUUAAAUAACUGUCAAUUACUUUCUUGCUGAUUUUCUUUUCCUUUUUUCAUCAAAAAAGAAACAUAUAUAAAACCACAGAGCUCAAAUCUGUUAAAACUUUAAUAAGACAAGCUGAAUUUAGAGAACGAUGGUCAUUUACUCAGAAUUUAAAUAUUAUAGCAUUUUUAAAAGAUUGAAUUUGUACAUAUAUAUAUUUGCAGUCACACACAAAGUUCAAACCAACAGGUUAAGAAUAAAGAGGUGGGCCAGAAGGGUGAGGCAUUCCACACAAUUUUAACAGUUUCAUCAAUACCUAAGUCAGAGGAUGGCACAUCGGGCAGCUUGCUUCCGGAGCUCCUCAGUCUCUCUCUGUGCUCUUUCUAGAUUCUCUCUGAGCUUGCGAAUUUCAUCAUUUGAUUUCAUUUGAGCUAGCUGUGCCAUCUCUUCAGCCUUCAGCCGCGCUGCCUGCUCCUCUGCUAACUGCUGCUCGAGCCUGGCAGUUGUCUCCUUCAGCUUUGACUCGACCUGUAGAACACCAUCAUUCAUUAAGCGGAGACUAUGAAACCAUUAGUUAUGGUGACUGAAUGCAUAAAAAUUAUCUCAAUAAUCCAAAAAACCAAAAUUAGCCAAAGAAAUAUAGUCUGAAGCUGGAAGCAAGCAUCUUUUGAAACAGAAUAGACAAGCAAUUUAAGUUUAUUUGUGCUCGAGUCGACGAAGUAUCGUCCUUCACGCUUUCAACGUCAGAAAUUAACCAAACUGUUCUCAUAUUUCAAUUUGAUUUGUAUUCUUCUUUAAGCACAAUAAAAAUGCAUAUUAACCAAUUCCAAGGGUGCUUCCCAAUAACAAAGCAUAUGAUAGUAACCACCAUUGACCAAAAAUCCUUGCCGUGAUUUAGAUCCUCAAAAGGAAUUAAAUGUUAUGAGAUUAGAGAAGAGGGAAGUGGAAGGAAAGCAAACUACAUCUCAGUUUAAACACCCAUAAUGCUGAAGGAGAUAAAACUACAUUAACUUUUGGCCAUUUCCUUCUUGUACUCUUAACGGUUUUCUCCUAAAAAAAGAAUAAUAAAAAUUGUAGAAAUUUAAUUUCUGAACUUAUGGCAUUAACUUGUUCCUUCUGAAAUGUGAAAUGGCUGGGGCUAUAUCAUGAUUAACACACAUAUUAGAUUUUGAGCCACAAAGAAAAAUGGUUGAGGUAGGUUGACAGCUGGCAUAAAACCAGUCCCAUCCAAUGGACAUGAAUUAUAAAAAGGAAACAGUUAAGACAUUCCGUCCUAGGGACAUACUGCAUUUGACCUGGGCAAAAUGAAAUUAACAAGGCAUUCUUCAUCAGCUGCACAACAGAUCAAUGCUUAGAUAUAAGAAGUAAGCAAUGAUUCUUACACAUUAACGGAGAGCCAUAAGUAAAAUUACAUUACAUGAGGCAAAGAAGGAACUAGGUAAUAGAUAUCGUAACUUUAGUACAGAUGGAAGGGCAUCCAUGAAAGAGUAAAAGCUACAUUUGAUGGAAGCCCAAACUAUGUUUCUCUGAGUACAUCAAAAUGUCAAUACCCAUACUCCCAAGUUAGAUUAAACAAGGCCAAAAUGCAACACUUCAGGAAAAUUACAGAGACUCAAGGAUUCCUAGCUAAGACAACUAUCAGGCACAAUUUGAAAGGGUAUCUGGGAAAAGAUGGUGCAGGGUUCAAAAGGCUACACGAUUAUGGUUUUGGAGAUAGAAAUGAGGAAAUAGGAUCAAAUUUGAAGUUUGCAAUGGCAUGUAGUUAACUGGUGUCGAUUAACAAUUCUUUAAAAAGGACUCAAAUCUCUUACUCCAUGUCAAAUUGCAUGCCCACUUUUGACCUAGCAUGGAGAUUAAGAAAAACAAUUUAACUUUAGUGUUGUCGUUUUUUUUAAGAUAAAUUUAUAAUAUUGAUAAACUAUAGUUUUUAAUGUCAAUACAUAUAUAUUAAAAAUUAAUAGGAAACAUAGAAAAAGUAAGAGUUACAGGUGCUCACAGCAAGAAAGUGUACAUAGUUUUGGAAUGGCCCAAUAUGGAAAGAUUGACAUUCAAUUUGGGAUGGAGGGAGUAACAUUAAUAAAACCAGAUAAAUUAUUUGUCAAAUAGAUUUUCUUCCUUGCUAGAAAAUCAUAUAGAACUCUUGAAAAAUAUGGUAAGGUUACUGGUGGCGUAAUAGAGCAGAGAUGGUAGAUCAAUACCAAUGAUCCUUCCUAAGAGUAAAAGCUUUUGACAUGUAGGAUUGAUUAUUCAUAAAAGUCAUGGUAGAGAAAAAGCUAAAGUGAAAUUGGACGAAAUGGAAAAACUCAGAGUUGAGACAUAAUGUGAUGAUAAGAUACCAACCAAGCUGAAAGGGAAACUUUGUAAGUUAUAAAGCAGUGAUGGUAGGAUAUCAGCCAAAAUGAAAAUAAUCUAUCUUUUAAAUUUGAACUCACUGCACCUCAUUGCUCAGAUUAUAGAGCAGUUAGAAAUAGUUGUAGCUGAAAUAAAAAGAUAAAUGCAAGGUAAUGGUUAGAACAGAGAAGUAGAUGCUAUUUAUAAAGACGCUAACUAAGUUGGUGAGGCACCUGAGUUGGCAUUUUAUAUAACUCAAAACUCCACUACUAAUAUAUAUUCUCCCUCUCUCUUCAUUGUAUAAGUUAAGAAAUUAUAUCUUUCCAUUUUCUCCACAUUAUCUCCUCAAGAAAUAUUUCUUUUGCAAUUUCUUUUCUAGUUUUAUCACCCUUGUACUUGCAGCCAAAGAUCUAGUAGAAAAAGAAAUGAAGUUGUAAGUAAAACAGUGAAAAGGCAAGAACGGAAAACAAGUUGAGAGGACAGCAUAGAUUAUUGGAGUUGCACAGGACAACAAAGAAUUAAGGACAUUCUGUAAAGGAGUUUGUUGAUUCACGAAGAAGGUAAAGGGAGGCUAGAGGUAAAACAAAAGCCAUAUUGGGUAAAGUAGAAAAGAACUUGAUACUCCAUGUUCCAGAAUGUUUGGACCUAAAACAAGGAAGACAGACAUAAGCACUCAUCUAGCCAACACCAACAGGUUGAGAUGUGCUGAGCUAGGAGAUGAUGUCAGGAAAAGCAUCAUUUCUUAUACCAAAACAAAUCUGAGUAAAUGCAAUGCAAUGUAGAUAUUUUCACCAUAAGAAACUAAUAAAACAACUGAGAUGAAUAACCAACUAACAGGUAUGUCCCAAGACUGCACUCUUUUUGACCAGAAGGGAAACAAGACAGCUAAAAUUCAAAUAGAAAAGCUAUAUGUCAGAAAUAACAGCUGAAUUUAGUUGGGACAGCCUGAUAGAGCACAUUGGCGGCAGCCUGCAAAGCUGUUAAGAAGACAUACUAAGGAUGGCUCUAAAGCCAGGGCCUUGAUUUGGCACAUUUCCAAAAAAUGAGAAGCCCACUGGUAUCAUUUAGUAGGCUAAAUAGUUGCUUUUAAGUAAUAAAUUUUUCGCAUCUUUAAAGCAAAUAUUGCUGAAUCUUGUUUUAAUUUCAUUUUUCUUGAAUUUCAAGUGUUAGGGGCAGUUAUGUAAUUUUCUGAGCAUCCUUGAAUCAUAUUUGGGAUCUUCUAUUUGCACCCCUGAAUUUGCUCUCUACACCCCAUUUCUUUUAACACCCCAAAUUCAAACUCAACAAAAUUGUCUUUACUUUCCACACCCCUCACCUCCAAAUUUACAAUUCCUUAUACUCAUUCCCAAACCCUAAACUAAUCCAACCCUAAAACCAAUUUCCUUUCUUCAUUUGAUUCUUAGUUGAAUCAACACCAACAAUCUCAAGUUUCGAAGAGAUUAACAGUUUCAAAAUAAUCCUUUUGAACAUAGAGAUUUUUUUUUUUUUUUUUUUUUGUGAAGAAUGGGAUUGAAUACUGUGGAAAACACUUAUUUACAACUGGUUGUAAUCUUGUAAUCUGUAUAUUUAUAUUUGUAUCUCUAGAAUUAAGUAUUUGUAUCCCUAAAAUUAGGAUAGACAAUCCCUCAAUUAUAGGAUUAGUUUUUUAGGAAGAUUUAGUUUCCUAGUUUAACCCCUAGUUAGUUGUAUAUAAACCUAAGAUUCUUUGUAUAAUUCUUAAUUCGCAGUUUUUCAAUAUACAUUCAAUUUCCACACUAAUUUAUUUCUUAGUUUUCCACAUGGUAUUAGAGCUUUAGGCUCUUCUUGGGAAGCAAAAUUUUCAAGCCUUCAUUGCUGACUUCUAUUUUAGGCCUUCAUCGCCGAAUCCUGUUUAGGCCUUCAUUGCCGAACUCUUUCAAAGAAAGAUAUCACUACCACCUAAUUUAAGGAAAUGUCACUGAAAAAAUCACUAAAGUACUACAGAUGUCUCAAAAACAAGGAAGAAGUCGAUAAAGAAGAGAUUGAAAAACUGAAAAACUUAUUGAAAAUAUUUGAAAAGCCUACUGUGGUUUUUUCUUUGGGUAAGGUUUCUAGUUCAGUUAAAGCUUCCGGUUCUCAUGGAUUAAAUGUCUCAGCUAAGCCUAUUACGAGUUCUUAGGUCAUUAACUCAGGAGCCACAAACCAUAUGAUACAUUCCUCACAAAAGUUAACUACACUAAUAACCUGUUGUCCUAGUAAUAAAAAAAUUAUUGUUGCAGAUGGUUCACUUACUACAGUGGCAGGUUUAGGAGAUGCUCAAGUUAAUCCCUCAUUUGUUCUCAAAAAUGUUCUUCAUGUUUCCUAGAUUGUCUACUAAUUUAUAUCUAUACAAAAACUUACCAGAGAUAUGAAUCGCAAAGUAACUUUUUAUCUCUCUUAUUGUGAAUAUCAGGACAGAGUUUGGGAAAGAUGAUUAGACUUGCUAAGGAGAAGGAUGGACUAUACUAUCUUGAGACAUCAAAUAACACAAGUAAUAUCAAGAAUAGUUUUACCUUUGACAUUUCUUUUUGAAAAUCUUCCAAUAAAACAAAAUCUGGCUUUAUCAUUUUUCGUUUUGGACAUCCUUCUUUUGGAACUUUGAGAAACAUGUUUCCUUCUUUGUUCAAAGGAUUAAAUGUCAAAGAUUUUCAUUGUGAUAUUUGCGAACUUGCAAAGCAUGAGACGUGUGUCUUUUCCAAUUAGUAAACAAAAGAAGUUCUGACUCCUUUUUACUUGAUUCAUAGUAACAUUUGGGCGUCCCUUUACAAUUCCUAAUAUUUCUGGUACGAGAUGGUUUGUUUCAUUCAUAGAUGAUUGUACCAGGGUCUCUUGGGGUUUUUUUUACUUAAAAUCCAAAUCAAUGUGAAUAGUGUGUUUUAAGCUUCCAAAACAUGAUCUAAAAUCAAUUUGGAGUGAAAAUCAAGAGAUUUAGAUCUAAUAAUGCAAGAGACUACUUCAACCAAAGUCUAUCCACCUAUUUCCAAAAAGAGGGGAUUAUCCAUAAGUCAUCUUAUGUUAAUACUCCACAGCAGAAUGGAGUGGCAGAGAGGAAAAACAACCAUUUACUAGCCACAACCCGAGCCUUUCUUUUUCAAACAAAUGUACCUAAAUCUUACUGGGGGGAAUCGGUUCUCACUGCCACACACGUUAUAAAUAGGUUACCUUCAAGAGUUUUGGGAUUUAAAACUCCUAUGAAACUACUCUCACAAUUUUAUCCCAACCUCAAUACCACAAACAAUCUCACACCUAAGAUAUUUGGUUGUACAUCAUUUGUUCAUGUUCACAGUCAUAACAGGGGAAAGUUGGAUCCAAGAACGAUUAAGUGUAUUUUUGUAGGGUAUUCUUCAACUCCAAAAGGAUAUAAGUGCUAUCAUCCUCCUACCAAAAAAUUCUAUGUGUCUGCAGAUGUCACUUUUGAAGAAAAUAAACCAUUUUUUACUCAACCUUAUCUUCAACGGGAGACUUCAUUCAUGGAAGAUAAGGAUAAUGACUUCUUUUUGCUUGAUUUGCCCCCUUCUUCAACAUUUACACCCAUUAAUUCUUCUGAGUCGAAACCUGUUUCUGCUGAGCCCAAGUCAAACACCGAAUUUGAGUCUGAACCCAUUCCAAAUACGGAAGAUGUGACAAAGGAUAAUACUGUUCUUGAUUCUAUGAAGGAAUUACAAGUGUACUCAAGAAGGAAAGUUCCAGAUCCUGAAACAGUGCCAGUCUAAGAACCUGAUCCUAACUCUGGAAAUGAAGUAACUACAGUUUUUGACUCUGUUUCUCAAAAUGAGCAUGAAUCUCCUAAAACUAUAACUAGUGAUUAUGAUCUGUCUAUUGCCAUUAGGAAAGGAACCAGAGAAUGUACCAAGCAUCCACUAUACCUAAUCUCUAAUUUUGUGUCAUUUGAAAAAUUCUCCCAUCCCACAAAAAUUUUCUUGUAAGCCUAAACACUAUUUCUGUUCCAACUACAUUAUCGAGGCAUUAUCCAGUGAGAAAUGAGGCAAGCCAUGAAAAUAGAAAUGGGGGCCUUAAAGAAAAAUCAGACAUGGAAACUGUUAGAGUUGCCUAAAGGAAAAAAUCCAGUGGGGUGUAAAUGGGUUUUUAACUGCAAAAUACAAAGUAGAUGGUACUGUUGAAAGGUAUAAAGCCAGGUUAGUGGCUAAGGGCUACACUCAAACCUAUGGAGUGGAUUACCAGGAAACCUUUGCUCCAGUUGCCAAGAUGAAUACAGUUAGGAUUUUGUUAUCAUUGGCUGCAAAUUACAAUUGCAGCUUCAACAAUUUGAUGUAAAGAAUGCUUUUCUACAUGUAUGAUAGGAAGAAGAAAUAUAUAUGAAGGUUCCACCGGGAUUUAGAGGUCAUCUAAAAGCAAACAAAGUAUGCAAGCUGAAAAAAGCUUUAUAUGGCCUUAAACAGUCUCCUAGAGCUUGGUUCAGGAGAUUCGCCAAAGUGAUGCUAGCAAUGGGAUAUAAACAGAGUCAAGGAGAUCACACAUUGUUUAUCAAGCACUCUGAUUCAGGGAGUCACAGUUCUAUUAGUGUAUGUUGAUNNNNNNNNNNNNNNNNNNNNNNNNNNNNNNNNNNNNNNNNNNNNNNNNNNNNNNNNNNNNNNNNNNNNNNNNNNNNNNNNNNNNNNNNNNNNNNNNNNNNNNNNNNNNNNNNNNNNNNNNNNNNNNNNNNNNNNNNNNNNNNNNNNNNNNNNNNNNNNNNNNNNNNNNNNNNNNNNNNNNNNNNNNNNNNNNNNNNNNNNNNNNNNNNNNNNNNNNNNNNNNNNNNNNNNNNNNNNNNNNNNNNNNNNNNNNNNNNNNNNNNNNNNNNNNNNNNNNNNNNNNNNNNNNNNNNNNNNNNNNNNNNNNNNNNNNNNNNNNNNNNNNNNNNNNNNNNNNNNNNNNNNNNNNNNNNNNNNNNNNNNNNNNNNNNNNNNNNNNNNNNNNNNNNNNNNNNNNNNNNNNNNNNNNNNNNNNNNNNNNNNNNNNNNNNNNNNNNNNNNNNNNNNNNNNNNNNNNNNNNNNNNNNNNNNNNNNNNNNNNNNNNNNNNNNNNNNNNNNNNNNNNNNNNNNNNNNNNNNNNNNNNNNNNNNNNNNNNNNNNNNNNNNNNNNNNNNNNNNNNNNNNNNNNNNNNNNNNNNNNNNNNNNNNNNNNNNNNNNNNNNNNNNNNNNNNNNNNNNNNNNNNNNNNNNNNNNNNNNNNNNNNNNNNNNNNNNNNNNNNNNNNNNNNNNNNNNNNNNNNNNNNNNNNNNNNNNNNNNNNNNNNNNNNNNNNNNNNNNNNNNNNNNNNNNNNNNNNNNNNNNNNNNNNNNNNNNNNNNNNNNNNNNNNNNNNNNNNNNNNNNNNNNNNNNNNNNNNNNNNNNNNNNNNNNNNNNNNNNNNNNNNNNNNNNNNNNNNNNNNNNNNNNNNNNNNNNNNNNNNNNNNNNNNNNNNNNNNNNNNNNNNNNNNNNNNNNNNNNNNNNNNNNNNNNNNNNNNNNNNNNNNNNNNNNNNNNNNNNNNNNNNNNNNNNNNNNNNNNNNNNNNNNNNNNNNNNNNNNNNNNNNNNNNNNNNNNNNNNNNUUAUGGAAACACCAAUACUAUUAUGGUUAAUGAUAAAAAACCUUCAUCUUCUACCCAAAACUUUCCAUAGUUACUAGGCAAAGAACUUAUGGACUUCAAAGCCUAUAAGAACUACUUGAACAUUUCAAAUAGAAAAUGUGGAACUACCAAAUGAUCCUCAACAUAGAGUUGAAUGUUUUAAAAAAAUGAUAGAUCAACUUUAUUCCUGACCAUCAACAGAUUUUUCAAAAUUUUAAUUAUCAUUAUAUUCUAAACUAACUACACAACCAGUGAAAGUAAGUGAAAAACGGCUAGCAUAAAUGAUAAUUUGUGACAUUCUAACAACUAGCCCAGUUGUUAAGAAUGAAAAAACUUUAAAUGAAGAAACAUUUGAAGAAAAAAAAAUCUCUCCUCAACAAACAGUUGAUAUAGGAAAAGAAAGAUUUCUAGAUCAAGCAGAUCUAGAAAAGUUUUAGUCGUUUGAAAUCUAUCUAAUUGAAAAUAUUAUUUCAUCUAAAAUGAUUAAAUAAAAAAUACUACAGAAGCUUGUGAAACAAGUCAAACUUUUUAAAAUAAUGCAACCUCAACUAUAGAUUCUUUAAACAAAAGAAAUGUAGCUGUUGGUGGCAAAUAUUUAGAUCUAUCUAAAGUACCAAUAUCUGAAUAUGAAAAAAAAACCAUAGAUAAUUGGGCACAAUCCAUGUUUAUUGUAGUAACCCACUACAAAGAUUAAUGGAAUUGUGAAAAAUUUUAAAUUAUUUUUGUGGAACAUGGUAAAGAGAUGUUUUGAAAUUUUUAAGAAAAUGAGAAAACAUAACUUUGGGAAAAACACAGAAGUCAACUAUUUUAGCCCAUGAAAAUAUUCCUGGUCUUUUAAAAUAUCUUACAAAUGUUUUAAAAAAUGAAUUUUGUGGUGCUCUUGAAGAUUUAUAUACAAACUCUGAAGCACAAUUUGUUCUAUCUAAACUUUAACUUUGUAACAUUCUAAACCUAGAUGAAUUUUCUAAAAAAUAUAUGAGUGAGUUCUAGCGUUUGAAUGAAGAACAUUCAAAAUUCUGGUUAGAACAAUAUUUUCAUAAACUUCUUUCACCAUGGAAUGAAUUGUGUUUACAAAAUUAUUCUACCUUUUUAGAAAUUAGAUUAAAAAUGUCUAAUGUUGCUAACCCUAGUAUCGAAUUAUACAAUACUUUAGGAAGCAGAAUAAGUUAUAUACAACAAUAAGAAGUUAUAGAACACUAUCUUAAACAAAAGGUAGCAAAAUAGGUUAAGAGUAAACUUAGUUAUAAACAAUGCACUAAGAUACUCAAAAAUGAAUUUACUUUUGGUUGUAAAAAAUAGUUAAGACAUCAUAAAAAUCAUUUUUAAAAAAUGAUAUUUUAUGAAAAAAUGGAAACCUAAUCAAAACCAUUUAAAAUCAUCUAGCAAAAUAUUUAUUGUAAGAAGAAAAACUUCUAAAAAAACAAAAUUGCAAAAUGUUUUAUAUGUGAAGAAGAAGGUCAUAUUGCUACAAAUUGUCCUAAAAAAAGGUAAAGUGCAAAUAUGUUUUUCAAAAGACUUAUCAGAUGAAGAAAUUUUUUAUGAAUUAUUUUCAGAGACAGAUUCUGAUUCUUCUUAUAGUGAAACAAAAUUUAUUUUAUGAAUACUGAAUCUAAUCUAGAUACAGUAUCAGAAACAUCUUCUGCUACUAACCAAGCUCUAGAAGAACAAAUGACUUCUCUUAAAAAUAUAGUGAGAAAAACUCAUCAUAUUUCUAAUGAAAAACUAAAAAGGUUACAACUCAUAAAAAAAAGAUGAAAUUUACCGAACAAGUUUUUUGAAAAGUUUUCAACUUUUGCUUAAAUGCCAUAUUGAAAAAGUUUGUGGUAAUACUAUAGCAAAUGAUUCUAAUAAAGGAUUAGUAGAAAUUCCUUUAUUUACAAAGAGAAAAUAAUGUUUUCUCACUAAAUUUCCAAAAACUAAAUACAUUCAUAUAGGUGUUAUUAUAAUCACCAUUAAACCACUAUUUCAGGAAAAAAACAUCCCUAUUUUAGCUGUUUUAAUGAAUAAAUAUUUUUUAGACCUUAUUAAUGCUAUUAUUAGAGGAAUCUAAUCCAAUUUAGUAUAAAGAGUUAUUUUUAUUGGAAUUUUUGACCCUUAAAUUGAAAAAUGUUUGUGUCUUAGAAGCAGAAUAAAAAAUUUUGAUCUUGAUGAGGUAGCUUACGAUCUUUCCAUAAAUUGGAUUGCUAUUUAUGAGUUUACUAAUGUCACUGCAACAUAUAUCAAAUAGGUAGAUCCUAAACUUAUAGAAAAUUUUGAACCUCAACCUUUUGAUUUCGAAAUCAAACCUAGAUUUAUAGAUCUUAUAGAUUUAGCUGUCCCAACGGGAUGGUUAUUAGAAGACAUUGAAAAAGAAAAUUUGCAACAAGCAGAAUAUCUACUUUAAAUUUUUUUUCUUCAGGAAAAAACUUUUAUUUUAAAAAUUAUUCUAAUCCUAAUACUGGAUUAGUUUUUCCUCAUUCUAACAUUUCAUUAUCCAAUCAAGAUGAUGAUAUUGAAAGUAUUAAUAGUAAUCAUUCUUUUGCUACAUCUUAUCAAAAUUCUUUUUUAGGGUUUCAAAGAUCUUUUAGCACAAAUGGUGCUCAAAUUCCAAUAUUUUCAAGUGAUAAUCAAUCAUAACCUUCGAUUUAUAAAAUAGUAAACUCUGUUUUAAGUUUUGAAUCUUCUUUUAGAAAAACUACAAAUGAAAAAAAUCAAAAAGUUACAUAUAAUUUCUCAAUAUAAAAUUAGAAAUGAUGAUGUAAUUACUUUUUCUAAUAAGCAACUAAAAAGAUUUUUUCCUUAUAUUAAAUGAGAAUUUUGUUUUCAAAAAUAUAAACCUUAUUCUCUUCAUAAUCUAAUAGACACUGGAGCAACAAUUUCCAGUUGUAGAAAAAAUGCUUUAUUGUUAAAAAAAAUGGGAGUUUAGGAAACAUCCAAUUGUUAUCAUUGGAAUUGAUGGUAAAGAAACCAUCAUUAGCUUUAAAAUAAAAAAUAUUCCUAUUUAUUUCAAAAAUUAUUUGUUUUCUUGAUAUGCGUAGAGAUAUCCUUUUAGGAACUAAUUUCCUGUAUAAUUAUUUUGCUUUUAGUCUUUUCCAAGAUAUUAUCUUUUUAACGAUAGAUAACCAAUCUAUCAAAAUUCCUCUUGUUAAAGGGCACAAACACAUUUAUGAUAAAAAUUUUAAACCAGAAUCUUUACUAACAAAAAUUAAAAUAAUCAAUGAAAAACAUUGGUUAGAUAAAGUUUUACAAGAAAAUUGAAGAACCAAUAAAACUAUUGUUUUGUAGUCCUAGAUAUUGUGAGUUAAAAAUUGUAGAUCUAACAACGAUUAUAUGAGUAAAACCCAUGAUCUAUACCAAAUAGGAUAUAGAUGAAUUUAAAAUUCAAAUUUCAGAACUUCUUUCAAAAGGGUUAAUUGAACCAACAAAUAGCCCACAUUCUAGUUCUAUAUUUUUGGUAAGAAACCAUGCAGAACAAAAAAGAGGUAAAGCCCGUAUGAUAAUUAACUUUAAGAGACUUAACCAAAAUAGUUUUUGAUGGUUAUUUUAUACCAAGAAAAUAUGUUUUAAUUAAUUUAGCAAAAAAUACUAAAUAUUUUAGCAAAUUUGAUUGCAAAUCUAGAUUUUCGCAAAUCAUGCUUUCAAAAAAAUCUAAACCUUUAACAGUUUUUAGUGCACCAACAGGCCAUUAUCAAUGGACUGUUAUUCCAUUCGAUCUCUAUAAUGCCCAUCAAAUAUUUCAGAGAUGGAUAAAUACUAUUUUUUGCAAAACAUGCAAAAUAUUGUUAUGUUUAUAUAGAUGAUAUUUUAGUUUUUUCUUUAAAAACUUAGAAGAACACAGGAAACACCUGAAUAUUAUUGCUUAAGAAUUUAUUUCUCAUGGUAUAAUACUUAGUCUAAAAAAGAUUGAGUUAGAAAAAACUUAGAUUGAGUUUUUAGGUUUAAAGUUCUCUUCAUAUGGUCUUACUCUACAAGAUCAUAUUAUUUCAAAAAUUAAAGAUUUUCUAGAAAAAUUGGAAAAUAAAAAGCAUUUACAACAAUUCUUAGGUCUUCUUAAUUACAAAAGAUAAUUCUUUAAAAAUCCUUCCAAAAAAAAAGAUUUACAAGAAAAAUUAAAGAAAGAUAUUGAAUUUACUUGGACAUUUUCUGAUUCUGAUAUUAUUAAACAAAUAUCUUAGUAAAGACUAAAAGGAAAAUAAUUAUGUAGGAAAUUGGUUCCUAAAAAGAUAUCUCCAUGCAUAUCAUGAAAACAAAUAAUUUUUGGAAUUAUAAAUUUAAUAUUAUUAAAAUAAAUAGAAAUAUUUUUUGCUUUAAAACCAAUGAUGGUUUUUUUGCCAUCAAUUCCAAUGAUAGCAAUUGGAUGUUUAUAAGCUUCCAUUUGUUUAACAGUAAAGCAUUCUUUCUACAAUUGGAAAUUCUGCUCUAGUGUCUAUUAGAAUAUGAAGAGAAUAAGGUUUAUAUUUUUGAAAAUGAAAUUCUCCUUUAAUAUAGGGAUAAAAUCUUUUUGGUUGCUUAUUAGAAAAUGCAAUUACAUUAUCAUUUCCAAUUUUAUAUUGAGAAAUGAUAUGUAACUUUUUUAUUUCUUCAUUUCUAGUUUUUCUAGAAGAAGAUUUAGAAUUUAAAACAGAGUUUACUAUUUUAUAAAUCGAGGGAUAUGAUUGAUUAUCACUUGGAAAUAUUGGAAUUUGAGCGCUAUUUGUGCUAAAAGAUCUUUGAAAUCUUGAAAAGGAAUUUUGAUAAAGUGUGACAAAAAAUUGAUUACUAUUAAUACUUUCAAUAUCAUCAUCUUGAUUGGAUAAUGAAAUGUUAAAAGGAGGAAGAACUAAUCCAAGAUUAGGAUUAGAAGGAUUUUUAGAACUUGAAGAUAGCACCAUCUGCUAAAGAGUAGCGAACCUAAGAAAAAGAAAUAUUAUUGCUAAGGAUAAUGUUGUUGAUAAGACUAGGGAGAAUAAUGUUAAUCCUUAUGGAUUUUUGGUAUUUUUAUUUUUGCCUUUCUAACAAUUGAAUUUCAUUAAUGGAAUUGAUUUAAACUUUCAGCUCGGUUCUUAAUUUUUUAUUCUAUUUUAUUUUUUCAAUUUUUAAAUCAAGUAUAAAAAUUGUACUUUUGGUUCUACUAAAUAAAAAUGUGUUCAGAAUAAAAAAUGAGACAAAAAAUUGUUGAUUGUUGAACAUAAUUCGAUACAUGUUGACAAUAUAGACAAAGUAUUGGUCAAUAUAUUGAUUGAUUAUUACUUGCUGGUAGUACACUUUUAGGUUACUGAAUUUCAAGUCUAAGGAAUGAGGUCUUUAUUGAGAUCUUAUAAUUUAAAUGCUUCUAGUUGGAUGACCUCCUUCACAAUGUUGAGGCCUUCUCAGCUAGGCAUCAAUUUUCUUCCUCCCUCCGAGGCUUCAACUUUCUUGAGGACUAGGUUACCUUAUUUUAUAUCUUUCCUCCUGACUUUUUUGUUGUAAUAGUUUAACACUUUCUUCUGAUAUGCGACUGUUUUGAUUAAAGAGUUAUCCCUUAAUUCUUUAACUAAAUCUAGACCAAUUCUUUGUAUAAGAUUAAUGCCUUGUUUGUCAUAUUUGUUCACCAUAAGGCUCAGUAAACUAAUCUCAACUGGCACAACUACCUUAGUCCUAAAUGCUAGAUUAAAUGGAGUCUUUCAUAUUGGCAUAUUGGUCAUUGUCUUAAGUGCCCAUAGUACUUCGGGCAACUUUUCAGCCCAUCUACCUUUAGCCUCAUUUAGCCUUUUUUUCAAAACUUUUAAGAUAUUCUUAUUUGUUGCUUAUGCCUACCUAUUUGCUUGGGGAUGAGCUAUCGAAGAGAAUUGCAAGUUUAUGCUGAACUUCCCAUACCAUUAUUUAAACCUUGGGUUAUCAAACUACUUACCAUUAUUUAUAAUGAGAGCCCAAGUAAAUCAUAUCUAUAAAUAAUGUUUUUUCUAGAAGAAUUUUCAAACUUAGGUUUUCAUAAUGCUUUCAAAUGCUUCCCUAUUGCCAUCAGUAUGAAUUUUCUUUAAGUAGGAGCCAAGUUGAAAGGCCUUAGCUCAUGCAUUUCCUAUUACAUGAAAGGCCACGGACUAAUGGUUAAGGUUAGUUUGAUCUCGAUUGAUAUUGCAUGUGCACAUACCUUUGGCAUUUAUCAUAUCGCUUAACCAAUUCGGUUACAUUUUUUUUUUUUGGUUGGCUAGUAGUAUCCUUAUCUCAACACUUUAUAGGCUAAAGCUCGGGGUCCAAAGUGAUUUCUAUACAUUCUUUUAUGUAUCUCUUUGAGCAUAUAGUUAGCUUCUUUUUCAUUUACACAUAUGAGGUAAGAUAGACUGAAAGAUCUUUUGUAUAACUUGGCAUCGAUAAAGACAUACUCUAGUGACUUUCUUAUAAACAUCUUAACAAGGUUUUUAUGUCACGCCAAGCACUCCAAAUGGAGUAGAUAAGGUACUCCAAUCUCAUAUUAGAUAUGAAAGAGGGGUUAUUGGGGUAUAAAAAGAUUCACACCAUCUCUUCUUUGUGAGACACAUUUUGUGAGACAAAAUAGUGAAGCCAUAGGGGCCAAAGUAGAUAAUACCUCAAAAGGGUGUAAAUCGUGAUAGAUAAGUUAAUAUAGGAUGCUGGAUGAGUACAUGCAUGGGUCUUGAAGCUGCAUGAGCUUGGAGGUUGAGUCUUGACUCGUAACAAGUGGUAUCAGAGCAGGCCUUGGAUCGUUCAACCUAUGUCAAGCACCGCGAAAAAGGUAAGUAAGAUGGUUAACCUUUAUGAUGAGAGCGUCACGAGGUUGGGUAGGGAAAAAUAUCACGCCAAGUUCUCCAAGAAUAGUAGACAGGGUACUCAAAUCCCAUAUCAGACAUGAAAAAGUGGUCACUAGGGUAUAAAAGGGUUCACAUCACCUCUUCCUUGUGAGACACCUUUUGAACAAUAAAAUCGUAAGGCCAGAGUGAGCAAUAUCUCACAAAGGUGUGAACUGUGACAAGUAGGUUGAUCUGGGAUGCCGAAUGAGUGCAUGCUCCUGUUUUAGAGCCGCACGAGCCUGAAAGUUAAAUCUUGACCCAUGACACUUGUACUUGAGUACUUUUUCUAUGAUCAAGUAUUCUUUAAUUGGAGUCAUCCAAAGUUCUUGUUCUUACUCAAUUAGAUCGACCAUAUGGCCAUUUUUUAUGUGAUUGUCCACUAAUUUCUCUACAAAUAAAUGUUAUAACAUAUAGAUUCAUAGACGUAUCACUAGACAUGACUUUAGAAGUUAUCACAAAUCUUUUUUAUUUAUGUGCGAUUGGUCACCUAACUAAAUCUAUUCUAUUUUAAAGAAAAGUUUCAAGCUUGACUCUCUUUAAAAGGUAAACUCUAGUAUACGAAAUCAAGUUAGAUUUGAGAGUAUAUGAAAUCAAGUUAGUUGAGAUAUGGUUACAUAUGAUGAAAGUUAUAGCACCUUCAUAAUGCUCAUAAAAAUAUGGUACCAGCUAUUUUUAUAUUAUCUGUUAAGCCCUAAAAUUUUAUACAUAUUAAGAAUUAUUCUCAUUUGACUUUAAUAUUUUGACAAAAAUUCAAGAGAAUUCUCUCAUUUCAGGAGUACACAAGAAAACAAUUGUUUCUCUUACAGAGGCUCCAUAUUCAAAUUUUUAAUAUUUAUCUUAUUAUUUAUGAAAUUUAAAAAAAUUAAUUUCAAGAAAAAUUUGAUAUUUCAACUUUUUCUCAAAAUAUUGAAAUCGUUUAAAAAGAAAAUUUGAUAUUUCAAAAUUUCCUCAAAUCUUAGAAAUUAUUUUUGUUUUAAGAAAAAAAAUUGAUAUUUUAUCUUUUUCCUCAAAAAUUUGAAAUUAUUUUCGUUUGAGGAAAAAUUGAUAUGUCAACUUUUUUCUCUAAAUUUUUUAAAAUUAUUUUUAUUUUAUGAAAAAAAUUAAUAUUUUAACUUUUUCCUUAUUUUAUGAAAUUUUUUAUAAGGAAAAAUUGAUAUUUUAACUCCUUUCUUGUUUCUUGAAAUUAUUUUUUGUUUAAGGAAAAAUUGAUAUUUUAACUUUUUCCUCAAAUUUUGAAAUUAUUUUUAUUUAAUGAAAAAUUGAUAUUUUAACUCCUUUCUCAUUUUUUGAAAUUAUUUUUGUUUAAGGAAAAUUCGAUAUUUCAACUUUUUCUUCAAAUUUUAAAAUUAAUUUUGUUUAAGGAAAAAUUGAUAUUUUAAUUUUUCUUAUUUUUUAAAAUUAUUUUUAUUUAAAGAAAAAUGAUAUUUCAAUUUUUUUUCUAUUUUUAUUUUUUUAAAAACACAUUAAAAAAUAUAUUACAUAAAUAAGCAAAAUAGUAAAAAGUAAAAAAAUUUGCCAAAAAAAAAUCUCGGCUCGGCCGUGGACUCAAAAACGGCUUAAAAAACUAUGCUUGGUGACUUGCAGCUCAACUUGGUUCACUUCAACCAGAUUGAGAAGAGGAUUGUGGGCUGAGGUGCUUAGGUCAGCUAGUGAUUAUAGGCUGAAGCGCUGAUUGAUAUCGGGUCAAAUGACCCAACCAAUUUUGCUUUCCAAAAUGGCAUAGUUUUAGCGUUUUAUAUUAAAAGCUUUUUCAAAGAUUUUUUUUUUUUUUUUUCACUCUUGCAAUUUCAUUCUUUCUUCACAAUUAGAAUUCUCUAGCGUCUUUCUAUAGUAUUCAACCUGCCAAGAAUGUUAAUCACAUAAACCAAGAUCGCGACAAAAUACCACUGUCAUCGCCUCGUUUCAUGCUCUAGCCACUGCUUGCCGGCAUCAUUUAGAUCCCAAAAUUUGGCCAAACGUUCCUUUCGCUGUCCCCUUUCUCUUUCACGAGUUGAUUUCCUUUGAAACUAGCCUCAAAAUUACAGAUCUCCAAGCUUAAGCUAGAAUUUCUCUGUCAAAGAAAACCUCUUUUGCGCUGUCCAAUUUGUCCUAGAUUACACUAUCUUCUUCCCCUCCUUUUAACUUUCUCUUCCCACCAUUCCAAUUUCCAAAAGCUCAAGUUGUCACCACGAGCCGCCUACAACAUCAUCAAUCUCGCUAUUCUUCAUGGACUAGAAAUCUUAUGGAACCUUCUUUUCAUUUCCUCUCAAUCUAGUCUUCUUUUUUGUUUUUUCGGAUUUUUCGAAAUCUUCUUGAUAAGCCCAGACCUUUCCUUUCUUUGGUCUAAAACUAUCCCAGAAAGAAUUCAAGUAAGCCCCGAAUAAAAAAUAGCCACUACCAAAAUCUACCUUUCUAUGUAUUGUGUAUCUUUGGGGUUUUGUAAGACCUGUUUCAAAGGUCAAUCAGUCAAUAUGUUGAUGAUGUGGGACUGAAAAUAAGGCCUCAACUUCCUUGUCGAGGUUAUGAUCGCAUAAGCUAAUUUUUUUAUUCUUUAGUAAUUCAACUCAAUGCCUGAUAAGGCUUUACUAACAAAAUAGACAAGGCACAGUUUUUAUCUUCUUCUCAAACCAAGACUGAGCUCAAAGCUUGGUCCAAUUCAACCAGAUAAAGGUACAAAGGUUCUCAUUUUCUUACUUUUGAUAGCAUUGGUAAAGUCGAUAAGAAUUUUUUAGCUCGUCAAAGGGCUUCUGGCACUGUUUUAUCCACUGAAAGUUGGGGAUGUUUCUAAAAAUCUUCAAGAAAGGGUUAAGUAUCUUUCUACCUAUCUUGAGUUGAAUCUGUUUAGGACAACUAUUUUUUUAAUUAAUCUUGUACUUCUUUCAUCGAGGCCGGUGGUUCCAUGUCGAGUAUACCUGAACUUUAUUAGGGUUGCCUCAAUGUCGUGCUAACUGACCAUGAUGCCCAGAAACUUGCCAAAGGUAAACCUGAAAGAACAUUUGUUAGGGUUAAGCUUCGUGUUGUAUUUUCUGAAAACCUUAAAAGUUUUCUUUUUUUUUUUUAAAGUCCUACAGGUGCUUGUUCAAUGUCUUACUCCUGAUGAUAAUCUCAUCUCAUACACUUCAAUGUUAUGGCCAAUCUGAUGUUUAAAAAUCUUAUUCACUAGGCAUUGGUAAGUGGCUCAAGCAUUCUUUAGCUCAAAAAAGAUCACCUUGUAACAGGCGUAUGUAUCCAUAAAGCAUAGAAGGCCAUGCUCAACGAUGUUGUCACCCAAUCGAUCUAUGAUUGGCAAUAAAAAACUAUUUUUAGGGUAAGCGUUUUGUGAUCAGUAAAAUCUAUGCACAUUCUUCAUUUUUUGUUGUGCUUUUUACCAUAACUAUGCUGGCAAUUCAUUUCGGAUAGUAAGUUUCCUUGAUAAAACUAGCUUUGAGUAGUUUGCCGACUUUUUCCUCUAUGGCUUGUUGCUUUUCUGGGGCAAAACACCUUUGUCUUUGUCAAAUAAGCUUGAUGUCGGGAUUGAUGUUGAGUUAGUGACUAUUACUAAAGGAUAUAUUCCGAGUAUAUCUGACAACGUCCACACAAACAGGUCAGCGUUUUCCCUUAAUGGUUUGAUUAGCUUAUCUUUCUCCUCUAAUUGUGAGCUAAUCUGAAUGCAUUUUUAGGAUUUCCUUCAAAGAAUGAGACAUGUAUUACCUUGUCCACUGGUACAGGUCGAGGUAAGUCUAGCUUAGGUUUGUGAUUUUCCAAGAUUUUAAGGUCAUCAUUCUCAUGGUUCGCUCUUGUAAGGGGAUGUUCAUCAUUAUUGGUUAAUGGAUUUGGGUUGGCUUUAGGUCGUAUUUUAAGAGAUCGUAUCAUUCAUAAAAAUUAUUGAUGCAUGUUCACAGAUAUAACAAGUUUUUCAUAGUAGUCCAAACAUAAAAUAGUGAGAAAAUUAUAAUCAUAUUCUUCUAGUUCAAAAAUGACAUUGUUUAGUGCAUAGAGUUAGCUUAUCAGCACUGUUUAAAUUGAUAGUUCGAUGGCGAGCCUUUUAGCUCAGCUUUGCACUUGGCUUAAAAACAUUGAAAAUCAAAAAGAAAAAUUAUAAAUUCUUUCUCUCUUUUCUUAUCUUGCUUCUAGCUUCCUACUUUUACCUUCAUUUUUUUACUCCUCUAGAAAUUUGAUUUUUGUUUUGCGCCUGAAGCAAUAAUCACAACAAUACAGAAGCAAUAGACAACAAUCAAUAAUCAAAUACGCAGGAAAAAUGAAGCACACCAAGAUUUACGUGGAAAACCCUCCAGUGUAAAGGAAAAAAAUCACGGGCCACGAGAAAAAUCUUCACUAUCAAAUAAUAGUUAUACAAAGUUCUUCUCUAGCUAAAACUAGAGCUAAUCAACAACUAGAGAAACAAUUGGAGAAAUCUCACCAAAUAAGUGACUCAACAAAUACACCAUGGAUUUGUUCAUAGAGAGCUUCAAACCCGAUCUUCACCGUUCAGAAUGUAGCACUCUGAAUCAUAGACCUCCUGGCAAGGUUCUAACUCAAUCGGACCACGGAUCUACUUUCGUUCAACCAACUCUUCCUUAUUCUUUUUCUUUCUCUGCUUUUUCUGGCUUUUCUUUUUUCUCUGCUUGGUUUUCGACACACACCUAAAACAACCCUACCUCUUUUUUAUUAAGUAGCUAGGGCUCUGUGUAAAAUAAAAAAUCAAGGCCCAUGGCCUUUACUUGGUCCAAAACCACUUACAUGGGACUGGACCCCAUUUUUCUAACAAUCUCCCCCUCCAGCCCCAUUAGGAGGAGAUUCAUCACCAUAGCAGUUUCAUUUGGAACUUACCUUGGCCAGGGAACUCAUUUCAACCAAGUUACUGCAAAGCUCAAGCUUUUUCUUGGAAAGUAUCUUAGUCAACAUAUCUGCUACAUUCUUAUCAGUAUGGACUUUUUUCAAUAACAUCUGUUGUUUUUCAAUCACUGAACGUAACCAAUGAUAUCUAACAUCAAUGUGCUUUGUUCUAGCAUGGUACAUGAUAUUCUUACUCAAAUCUAAAGCACUCUGACUAUCACAAAAUACCACAUACUUUUUCUGAUUCAACCCUAAUUCAAGAAGAAAACGUUUCAUCCAAAGCAUUUCUUUACAUGCUUUGGUUGCUACAAUAUACUCAGCCUCUGUAGUUGACAAAGCAACACACUUCUGCAACUUAGAUUGCCAAGAUACAGCUCCUCCUGCAAAAGUGAAUAAAUACCCUGAAAUAGAUUUCUUACCAUCAAGAUUACUGUCAUGUCAGCAUCAGUAAACCCUUCUAGAAUUGGUUGUGAAACUCCAUAAGUCAAGCACAUUUUUUAGGUACCCUUCAAAUAUCUAAAAAUCCAUUUCACUGCUUCUCAAUGAACCUUUUCUGGAUUAGAAAGAAAUCUGCUCACUAUACCAACUGCAUGAGCAAUGUCAAGCCUUGUACAAACCAUAAGAUACAUUAAAGAACCGACUGCAGAAGAAUAAGGAAUACUAGACAUAGCUAGUUGCUCUUCCUUAGACACUGGACAAGAUUUCUUACUUAGAUGAAAAUGGUUGGCAAGUGAACUGCUAACUGAUUUAGCAUAUUGCAUGUUGAACCUACCAAGCACUCGUUCAACAUACUUUUCCUGUGACAAUCAUAGCUUUCCAACUCUUCUAUCCCGGAUAAUAUCCAUACCAAGAAUCUACUUUGCUAGACCUAAAUCCUUCAUAUCAAAGGACUUAGACAAUUGUUCUUUCAACCUGCAAACUAUACUAGCACUUGUCCUACAAUCAACAUAUCAUCAACAAAUAAUAAUAGGAUAAUGAAGUUACCAUUAAAAAAUUAUUUAACAUACACACAAGAAUCCGCUGCUGUUCUUUUAUAGCUAUGACUCACCAUAAAAGAAUCAAACUUCUUAUACCACUGUCACGGAGCUUGUUUCAAGCCAUACAAGCUUUUCUUCAAUUUGCAAACUAAGUGCUCUUUCCCUUUCACUUCAAAACCCUCAGGCUGAUUCAUAUAAAUGUCAUUCUGCAAAUCACCAUGCAAAAAUACAGUUUUAACAUCAAGUUGCUCAAGUUCAAGAUUCAAACUAGCUGCCAAUCCCAGUACCACUCGAAUAGAACUCAUUUUUACAACUGGAGCAAAAAUCUCAUCAAAAUCGAUGCCUGGUUUCUAAGAAAAACCUUUUACUACCAAUCGAGCUUUGUACCUCACUAGUUUGUCACCAUCCUUUUUCAACUUGAACACCCAUUUAUUCUUUAAUGGCCUCUUCCCUGUUGGAAGUUUAACAAGAUCAUAAGUACCAUUCUUUCGCAAUGACUCCAUCUCUUCUUUCAGUGCUUUUAACCAGUGCUCUCUAUCCGAAGUAGCCUGUACAUCUUGGAAGCUUUCUGGCUCCCCUUCACUGGUAACUAAAAUAAAAUCUAAACUUGGUACCUGGUAGAUGGCCUGCGCUCUCUAGUAGAUCUCCUUGGUUGAGACUCUACAUCACUUGAUGCCGAAGGUAGCUCCCCUUACUUAACACUCUCAGGUAGAGAAGAUUGUUCCCCCUGCUCAAAACUAAUAACAUCUGGCUCAUCACCAACUGUAGCUGGCUCAUUCAUAUCCCCAAGUUCUAUUUCUUGCCCAUUUUCACCAUCUGUGGCUCUUUCCUGUGAAAUUCCUGUCGGUGUUGAAAUAUCAUACUCAACAGUAACCUGUGUAGUCUUCUCAUUUUUUUCAAAGUUCGUUAUGGUUUCUUUUUCAUUAAAGACCACAUCCCUACUUCUGACUAUCUUUCUCUUUACUGGAUCCCAUACCCUGUAGCCAAAUUCCUCAUCACCAUAUCCUACAAACACACACUGUGUAGCUUUACUGUCAAGCUUUGAUCUUUGCUCUUUUGACACAUACAUGAAUACUUUACACCCAAAAACUUUUCAAGUGAGAGUAUGAAGUAUCUUUCCCUGUCUAAACUCUUUCUGAAAUGUCAAAGCCCAAAGGAACUGAUGGUGACCUUUUAAGUAAAUAACAAGCUGUGUUGACUGCUUCACCCCAGAAUGGCUUUGGUAAUUUUGCCAUCCUCAACAUACAUCUGACUUUUUCCAUAAUGGUGCGAUUCAUUCUUUCAGCUAUACCAUUAUACUACAAUGUUCCAGGUUCUGUCUUCUCAUGCCUGAUCCCAUGCUUUGAGCAAUACUCUUCAAAGGCUUUAGAUGUGUAUUCCCCACCAUUAUCAAUUUGAAUACACUUCAAGGGUAACCCUGUCAUCCUCUCAACCAUGGUAUGAAAUUUUAAAAAAUAUUGCAGUACCUGACUUUUGUAUUUCAACAUAUACACUCAAGUCUUAGUGAAGCAUCAUCAAUAAAAGUAACAAAAUAUCUGCUACCAUCUAAUGACUCAACCUCAAUGGGACCACAUACGUCAGAAUAAAUUAAUUCCAAUCUAUUUUCUUUUCUUUGAGAACUUUUACGAAAAGAAACUCUAUGAUGCUUACCAAACAAAUAAUAAUCACAUGAAUCGAGAGACAUACCUUUGGUCAAGGGAAUGAGAGACUGUCUUGCCAAAACCUGUAACCUUUUUUCACUCAUAUGUGCCAGCCUCUUGUGCCACAAGUUUGCUGAAGCAUCAUUUUCAACGGUAUUUACCUGGUUACCGUUCAAUUGCAUCCAUGUCUUAUACAUUGUGCAACAUAGUUUUCCCCUUGCAACUAUCAUAGAUUCUUUGAGAAGCUUUCAUUGUCCAUUCUUUUAUCGACUUUCAUAUCCCUCCUUAUCAAAGACAUUAAUAGCAAGCAAGUUCAUUCUCAUAUCUGGAAUUUGUUUGACAUCCCUCAAAGUCAACAUACAGCCUGUACUAGUUUGUACAACAAUAUCACCAAUCCCAACAAUCUACGACACACUCUUAUUUCCCAUUUUGGUACACCCAAAGUCUCUUACUUUGUAAGUUGUAAACAACUCUCUCUUAGGAACACAAUGAUAUGCCACUCCUAUGUCAACUAUCCACUCAACGUCGGGAUCACUAACAUGAUUACAAUCACCAUGUGUACAAAUCAAAGUAACUGAAUCACUAUCUAAAUUCACUGUUGGAAGAAGCUACAAUAAAAAAAUGGGUCUUUCAACAAUCUUCUUCCAGCUUUCAUCUUUCAUAUCUACUGGUUUAGUCGAAUCACCCAAUACUGGCUCAUACAAAUCUUUGCAGUAUAGAUGAUCCUCCAUCAUAGGCUUCCAAAUUGAAUAAUUCGAUGCUGUCAAUUUUAUCAUGGAACCUGUAUCACCCUCUAUGAUCUCAAACAUAAUUUACUUCUAUCUUGGGUUACUUUUGUAUCGAUGUCUCAAAAUAACCUUCGCUCUGAUACCACUUGUUGCGCCUAAAGCAAUAAUCAUAACAAUACAGAAGCAAUAGAUAAUAAUCAAUAAUCAAAUAUGUAGGAAAAAUAAAACACACCAAGAUUUACGUGGAAAACCCUCCAGUGUAGAGGGAAAAAAUCACGGGCUAUCAGAAAAAUCUUCACUAUCAAAUAAUAGUUAUACAAAGUUCUUCUAUAGCUAAAACUAGAGCUAAUCAACAACUAGAGAAACAAUUAGAGAAAUUUCACCAAAUAAGUGACUCAAAAAAUACACAUUGGAUUUGUUCCUAGAGAUCUUCAAACCCGAUCUUCAUCGUUCAGAAUGUAAAACUCUGAAUCAUAAACCUCUUGACAAGGUUCUAACUCAAUCAGACCACGGAUCGACUUCCGUUCAACCAACUCUCCCUUCUCUUUUUUCUCUCUUUACUUUUCUUGGCUUUUCUUCUUUCUCUGCUUGGUUUUCGACACACACCUAAAACAACCCCACCUUUUUUUUAUUAAGUAGCUAGGGCUCUGUGUAAAAUAAAAGAUCAAGGCACAUGGCCUUUACUUGGUCCAAAACCACUUACAUGAGACUAAACCCCAUUUUUCUAACAUUUUGAAUCUUUCAUAGUUGCUUUUAGCCUACCUAAACCUUGUAAUACCAAGGUCUCAGUCAUUCCCUUUAAGGUGGUUAUAUAACACUACCUUCCAAAUGAUUGGUCUCUUCUGAACUUUCCUAUAUUGUGGGUGGUAGAAACUUUAACUUUGAGGUGAGAAACAAACCUCACGACUCCCAACAAAGUUUGACUUGGCCUCUCCAGAAUCAUAUUGUAUGCGAAAUGUAUGUUUACACCAUGAAGUCAAUAGCUGAAGUGACAGUCCUUGAGUUGGUUCCCACUAUAAUCAGCAACUUUAUACUCCCCUUAACUGGAACUUGUUCAUUGUCAAACUCUAUCAGGUUGGUCGAGAAUGACCUCAGCUUGUUUUCAAGGAUCUUCAUUUUCCUCAAUGUAGAAUAGUAUAAAACUUCAGUUGAACUCCCAUUAUUGAAAAUGAUCCUUUUGACCUCAUAGUUAUAAACAACUGCUUGAUCACUAUAGCAUCUUCAUGAAAGAAUUGGGUACCUUCCAAACCCUCCAAGCUAAAACAGAUCGAUUUAUCCUUCAAGGUGUUUAGUUUUCUAGCUAUGGAUCCUACCAUCAUGACUAUUCCUUGGUCAAACUUCUUAUCGGCUGACAUCAAGGUUUUUCUAGUUAUAACAUUGAUAAUUCUUGCUAUAGGUCGAUUAUCAACUUUCUUUGUUUAUUCUACUUCAUAGGUUUGUCAUCCUCAUUACCGCAGUUAUUGCCAGCCCAACGGUUAUCAUAUUUUUUUUUUUGCUCUCUUUUUUCUCUCCUUGGAAAAUUUCCCUUAUUCUAUCUUGUCUUUUGUUGUCAAUGAAUCUGUCCAGCCAACCUUUCAUCAUUGAGGCUUUAAUCUUAUUUUCCAAAUCAAUGCAUUCCUCAGUCAUGCGAUCGUGGUCUCGAUAAAAAGCAUAUUUCUUGUUCAGAUCUCUUAUGUUGUUAUGUCUUAAUGGCUUAAGCCAUUUAAGCUAGGCGUCCUUUACAAGCUACAUCAAAAUCCUCUUUUAAGAGGUAUUUAAUAUUGUGUAAUUGUCAUAUCUUCCAUUUGGGCUCCUCGCCCUUGGGUAUCCCUCUAUGGAUUUUUUCCCUCUUGAAGGAUUGUUGACCUCUUUACCUCUUUUAUGUCUGAGGUAAAAGAAUGUUCCUUUCUCACCUUAGCAAUUUUUCAUUGUAAUUUUGACGUUGAUGAAAUUUUUUGUUAUCAAAAGCACGUUUGCCAGGGUUUUAGAGAGAGGGUUAGCUUGAAAUGGUAUUCCUUAUUAUCAAGCCCACUUCCUAGGGUUGCAACAGUAGCAGCUUGCUUUAAGUCAUUGACUUGAAUAGCUUCAGUGUUGAAACACGUUACAUAUUCCUUUAGGGAUUCCUUAUGUCAUUGGCAAAUGGACAAAAACUUAGGGUUAUCUUCUUCGCUCAUCAACUAUUGAUGAAAUGGAUUAAAGGGAAUGAUCGAGCUAUUUGAAAUUUGAGAUUGAUUUAGGCUUUAAGCUUAUAUACCAAGAUCAAGCUAUCCUUUUAAGGGUUGUAGUAGAGCCCUUAAACAUCAAUGGUUCACCGGCUUAUUGGAUUAGUAUGUUUGUCUUAAAAAGUUCAAGAUGAUCAAAAUGAUUAGUUGUGUCAUUGUAGAUCUAUAUUUGACAAUUUAAAUCUUUUGAGGGAAGAGCUCACUUAAUAUCUUUGGCAAAGAGGGAGGGUUUUAGAAACUUGAGCUCAUCACUGAAAGUAGAGGUCUUGUUUUUUACGUUCCUUUCUAUUGCUUUCAUCCAAGCUUUUAAGUCUUUGUUAGAUGGUUGUUUCGAGGUGGAUUACUUGGAUUUCAAAGUAAAUUGGGUCUUGGUAUUUGUCAGGUAAUAACUUUUUAGGGUUUUUUUUUUAAGGCAGAUGAGUCGACCUCAUUAUUGUCAUUGUUCACAGAGUUUAUUUUAUUUAGAAUUAUUAGAUCUUUAUUUACUAGUAUUAUAACUAUAAUUUUACAUUUUACAAUUAAAUAAAAUAUAACUUUUCUUAGUAUAUGUGGAUAAAGUUACUAAAACUUUUAUAUGGAUAGCUAGAUUUGAGCAUUAUCUUUUUAUUUUCAAGAAAAAAUUUUUUGCGACACUUCUUCUUUUGAAGUUACAAUCACAAUUAAUCAAGUAUUACAUCAUAUAAUCAACUUAACAAUAAACUAUUAUUAUCACUGAAUAAUUAACUAACAAAGUAGAACAUAACUAAACAAACAAACCCACAAACAGUAGGCCUUGAACUUAGACCUAUAAUGUUUGUGCCGAGUUCGAUGCAAAGGGAUUAAAACCUGAAAUCAUAACGUCAGAGGUCAAUUAGAAGCAAAAGUCGAAAGGAGUUUUGGCAUUUGCGCUCCAAUACUCAAGUAGUUCUUAAAAAAAAGAGAGAAAGAGAUAGGAAAGAAAAAAGUAGAUAAUAGAUGGGUUUCUCAGGAUUUGAUCCAUUUACUUGGAAUUGGAAUAGGGUAUUUAUGUUUGUAGAAGGGGGUGAUCGGGUUAGAAGAACCCAAUCGGGUGAACCAAUGGUAGGUUUGAACAACCCAUGUUGACUUGGCUAAUGUGCCUCCAAUGUUUUUAGGACUAACCAGUACAGUCACGUUCCUAUUAUGUGAGAUGAUGCCUUCACAAUGUUAAGGUCAACUCCAAGAAAUUAAAACUGGUGUGUCACGUCAGAUCGAAACAAAUGUCUAAAAAAGCCUUUUAGCCUUACUGACUCAUUAUUUGUAGUGAAUAGACCAGCUUACCCUUUGGACUUUCAGGUACCCUCAUCAUUUAGGAUUCUAGGCUUCCUUACUCUUUGCCACUAAAUUAAGGCUUCAUUAGCAAAAUUUUGUGAAACUUUAAUUGCCAUUUAUGUGUGUUUCUUUAUAAUUUAUUAUUAAGUAUUCAAUGACAAAAGUGUCUUUUUAUAAUUACUUAUUAAGCAUUCCAUGACGAAAAUGUCUCUUGAUGCAUGUAAUGCUAACUAUUUGAAAUUAAUAAGUAUAAUUUUAAAGAUAACAUUUCUAUUCAUAACCCCACAUUUACUCAACACACCUUAUUGCUUUUAACACCCUAAUUUUUUUCUCACCACGCCUUACACUAAAAUUCAAAUUUCCCAAAAAACCACACACUUAUCCUCCUUAUUUCUCACACCCCUCCCAUUUUCUAUUCCCUCAAACCUAAACUCUAAACAAAAAUAUCAACCUAAAUUCAAAAGAAAUCAAGGGAAAUUAUUGUUAGAAAGCUUCUAAUAAGAGGUAAAUCAUUUGUUUUUUGUGUUUGUUCAUUUGAAUUCAUGUUUAGUUUCAUAAAAUUUAAGGUUUAGUUUCAAAAAUAUUCAGUGUGAUUCAUAGGUUUAGAAAAUCCAUUACUAAAACCUCUUAAAAGAUUUCAGAAAUUCAUUUCCAAAAUCCUUUAAGAGGUUUCAAAAAUCCUUUACAAAUGUUUGAAAGCUAUAAAAACCCACAAUAAUUUCAUAUUCUAUGCAUAUGUGAUUGUAUAUUCAUUAGCUCUUACAUAUUUACUUUAAGAGCUAAUGUGUUGAUCAUUUAAUAUAUGUAAAAACAAGUAUAGCAUAAAUGAGAAGAAUUGGCAGUAGCAUAGGUCGAGAUGGUGGACGUGCUGCAAUUGAUAUUCAAAGGCAUCCAACUACCUCUAAGAGGAGAUUAUGAGUUGAUGACCAUAUAGAUAAACUAGUUGUGGAUUCGGCAUAAUAGUUUGUAGAGCAGCUCGAUGUUUAUCCUAUAAAAUUUGUUUUUUAUCCCUUAAAGCCAUUUCCUAGAGGGUCGAUAGAUACUUCUUUGCUUUAGAGCUUCAACACUCAUAUUGCAGCAUAAAUAUAGAAUGGCUUAGUAAUAAAUUAAAUAUUGAUGCUUACUUUUAUUAUUUACUAUACGUAAAAUUAAUAAUUAGUUUUUAUUUAUUGUUGUUAUAUGAGCGAGCUACUUUAAAAACAAUCAACAAUGCGGUAAAGUUACAAAAUUGGCCUCUGGAUGCUUCUUGGUAGUGUAUUCAUGAUUACGUUAUUAAGUCAAGAUUACUGCCAUUGAUCGAUAACACCUAUCAUAUGUCUAACAAUACAAUAGUUUCAGUAUUCGUUGAAAGGUGAUAGCCAAAGAUAAAUACCUUUCAACUACCAUUUGACAAGAAAACAAUCACGUUGGAUGAUGUUUAUAUGAUUCUCCACAUACCCAUUAAGAGGUAAUGAUAUUAGUUUAAAAGUUAAUGUGAGAUGAGGCAAAAGCAUUACUGGUGAGGUUACUUGGAAUAUUAGAGGUUGUGGUAGCCAAUGAGAUAAGGAUUUCUUGUAGUGCGUCUAUUAGGAUGCAAUGGCUACAAGAUACAUUUAAAGCUGUUAUUAAUAGACUUCUGAUCAAGAUAUGGACUAUGCUACCAAAGUUUUCUUGCUUUAUCUUUUAAGUUGCAUGUUUUUUGUUGACAAAAGUAAAGAUAAAGUAUUGGUAGGAUAUUUACAUUUAUUGAGUGACUUUAGCACCACCAAUACAAAUACUGAGGGGGUAGCUUGCCUGACAUAUUUAUAUAGGUAGCUUGGUAUAACAUACAGAGCUCACGUUCAUUAGAUUAUUGGGUAUGUUACACUUCUUUAAGUAUAUUAUUUACAUUAGUUUAAUGAUUUAUAUAUUAGUUAUAUUUGUUUAUAUUACAUUUCUUUAUGUAUCUAUAAUUUAUAAUUUAUGCAUGUUUAAUCUAAAUGCAGGCACUGAUUUAUAAACAUUUUCCCACACUUGAUCCAGUAGCCAACAAAGGAUAUUCUGAUCAUGAGCCUUGUUUUCGACAGUGGAAGCCUCGAAUGUAUAUUGAUUCAUUGUAGUAAUUGUAGGGAGUAGAUUAAUGCCUUUCUUUCAAUUCAGUGUGUUGAAACCCUUUUAGACACGUGAUAGCAUCACUCAUUACUGAAGAUUGCUUAUUUUUUUGGGUGUAUGAAAUACGGGGCUAUCGUUGAGCCAUAUCAUCUAAAAAUGGUGUUAUAAUAGUUCAAUUAUGUAUAGACCAUUCUUUCGACCCCUUUAGCUACAUGUUGAGUUGAUUAAGGUACAUCCUUCAGCAUGUACAAUAUUGCAUAUAACUCUUUGCAUUGAUUUUGGGAGUGAUGGAAUAUGCACGUUUUACUUUUCGAUCGUCAAGGUCAUCGAUCUGCUACACUAAGCAAGUUUUCAUUGAAUUAUGAUGCUUGGUAUACAUCAAUUUCUCAUUGGUCAUUCAAAAUUUGGUGCAUAGAUCAGGACUGCGAUCUGCUUUGGUUAGAAGGCUUACCUAGGAUAUGGUGAGUCAUUAACUUUAGUAGUAAUUACUUAUACAGUAUUAAUUACAUGUUUUAGAUAUUGAUUUUCCUUACUAAAUUUUUAUAGGUAAGCUCACAGGCACUAAUAGUUUUUCGUAAUGCUAUUUCUAGUGGUUUACAUCAGGGACUAGAUGUUUGAGAGGUGUAGAUUUAGAACAUAUCAUGUCUUGUCUGGGUUACAUACAUCAACUCCUAAACCAUGUUCGAUUCUAGUGCCCACUCCCUUAUAUACUUCUUACCUCCAACACUGAUGUAACACAACCAAUUUUCCUCACUUCCUAUCUCUAACAUCGAUGAUAGCAUUGUAUGAUUUUCCUUAUGCAUCUUAACAUCAAUGAGAGCACUGCUCGAUUCUUCACUCCUUUAUAUACUUUCUACCUCUAGCACUAAUGGCAACACAACCCAAUUAUCCUCGCUCCCUAUCUCUAACAUCGAUGAUAAAAUUGCAUGAUUCCCCAUGCAUCUUAACAUCAAUGAGAGCACUGCUCGAUUCCCUGUACUUCUCGCCUUCAGCAUUGACAGUAGCAAUGCCUGAUCUCAUAGCAUUAGAUUCAACACUUUUGCUCCAUCUGCUCCAUCAUAGCAUGUAUAUGUUCAAAUAAAAAGACCUAGGUUUAAGGAGUAUGACUUUUUUAUUGUAAACCUGAGACAUACAUUAAUUAUGUUAUUGUAAUUAUAUUUUUACAUGAUUAAUGAUUGCAAUAUUUUCUACAAGCACAUAGAUCGUACAACUAAUAAUAAUGACCAAAAGUCAAGAUAUCAUCCCACAAAGAUUAGCUAAAAAGUCCAGGCUAAGUACCUAUUAUCUCCACACUCUUUUUAUAGUCAAUUCAAUCACAAAGAGUAUACAAGAAUACACUAGCAUGAACAAGUACGAAAAACUAUAAGCAAAACACAAUAUUAACAAAGAACAUACCUAUAAUAUAUGAAGCAAGCAACUUGAAAAAUUAAUCAAAAUAGUAGCUAAAGUGCUAGAAUUAAAUCUAACAUGCUUUGAAUGUAAUUCUAAACUAAAAUAAUGAAAUUAGAAUACCCAAAUAAUAACCAAACAGUCGUUAAAAUGAAGUAAUUGAAAAUAACUAACUUGUAAUCGAAGCAACUGCCUUUAAACUUUCAAAUGAGAUUAGAUCUAGAAGCUUCCUAACAAUUUAUCCAAACAACUUCUAAAUUGAAAGAACAGUAAGUAAAAAAGACAAAAAAAAAAAAAAAAACAAUUGAAAGGCAAUUAGAGAAGAAAAUUUGCAAGAACAAUAAGAAAUUGAAACAGAAUUUUGAAAUAUAGAAACCAACCCAAUGUGCAGUAAAACUUAAAUUUACAAAUUUACAAAUCAAAUAAACAAAAACUGAGCUAACACAAGCUAGAUCUAUAAGAUUACUAUCAAAUUCCGCAAAGAAAUUGAAGAAAAUAAUGAAAAUCAAGCUCAAUAAACCAAAUCAAAACUGAGUGUAGUGAAGAACAAAACAGAGUAAUUAACAAAAAAUCAUUCAAACAAAAUUGAAAAACAUGGAAUUAAAGGCAAGCAAUUGAAUAUAAACAAGUAAACCUAUGAAUUAAGAAGUUCAAAAUGAGAAAAGAUUGGAUUGAUUUCCCAACUAGGAAAGGAAAGUCUUCAAGUGCUAUCCCUCACUCAAGCUUUAAGUCUACUGCUAGAUCUAACCAAACAUUUCUAGAUUUUUCUAGAAAUUUAUGGAAUGAAUUUGAGCAUGAAAGUUUUUAGAUUUAUAUAAGUAUGAAUUGAGAGUUCAUAGAAAAAAUUUGUAUCAAAACUUGCAAGAAUUAAAGGAGAUCUAAUCCAACAACCGAAACUGACUUAUGUGAAAAUUUAGCAAAAUAGAUUUGAGUAACCAACGAAUUUCAUGAAAUUGAACAAGAAAUCUUAAAGGAAAUGAAUUUUAUUGAUUGAAUCUUAAAUUUCAUGUAAAAUAAUGAUAAGAAAAGUAAAUUUUGUUGAAAAAUUAAAGUAAUUUUUUCUCAAACAGCCCUCUAAAAAAACAAGUAGGAAACUAUUUGAAAAGAAAAAAAAAGUAAAACGUAAAAAAAUAAAAAACUGUAAAAAUUAUGGAAAAGUCUCCCAAAUGGCCAAACAUCCCUCCUAUUUAUAGGCCAAGGAUAAGGUGUUCUAGCCAAUAAAAUUGCUGGAAAAUGCCAAUUAAGAUGCCACAUGCUCUAAAGUCUUUCAAGUAAUUCAUCUAGCUCUUUAUGCUUCCUUGUUUGCUUUUUUUUACUUCACUUCACUACAAGCUUCCUUCCUUUGAUCUUGUAAACUCCAAAAAGUUAAAAUUAUAUCAAUUAGAAGCCUCCAAAUUUUCAACUAAGUAGCUGCCCAUUUGCGUCUUCUUUGAAUCCAAGGAUUGAUGCCUAUCACACAUGAUCAUCAAUAAUGCAUCCAACGAUUUUGAUUGAUCCCUUUACACCCAUUUUAAGCACUAAUCGUAACUAAUUCUCUUCUUCAAAUUCUAGCUAAAUGAGGACCAUUUGUUCAUAAAAAAAUUUUGGAAAGUUCUAGCUCUAAAUGUGGCUUUAAAGCCACACCAACGCAAUCUUCACCAAACUAGCACAUGCAAAAUAUUACUACAAGGGUAACAAAGAACUAGUGAGCUAAAAAGGAUAUUUUUUCAAUAAAACAUGAAAAUUAAGGCUUGAAAUAAAGUUCAAUUAAGCUCAAGUAAGCUAAGAAAUCAUGAAGGAAAAAGUAUGAAAAAUCUCCCAAGCAUGGCAUUGGAAGCAUAUGUAUACUAGUUUUAGCCUAAUGAGACUUUUUACACUAAAAUGCACCCAAAAUGAGUCCAAAAAGCUUUCUUUUUCCUCUUUUCUCAUAUUUUUACCUAUACAUUGAAUAUUUAAGCAAUUAGGAGUAUUUUUGCCAAAUUUUUCAAGAAACAAGCAAAUAUUCACUAAAAAAUGCUCUAAAAAUGUAUGAUAAAUCAUUAAAAUUUUAGUGCAAUCAAUUACAAACAUUUGUUAUUGUUAUUUUAUAUGCACUAAAAAAGUUGCUAAAUAUAAUAUGGAUUAAAGAACCUACAAAAUAUAAAAAUAUAAGCCAUCAAAUAAAACAUAUUAAUAAAUACAAAAUAUCCAUCUAAAGUCAUUAAUCAAUUUAAAUUGUUUCUUAGGUGGCUACAUUAAAGGUUUUGCUAAACAAUAACUUAAAAUUCUCUAUAAAUGGUACACAUGGAGCCUCUUAUCCUCGAGCACACUCAUAUCCUUAGUUGCAUGCAAUCAGAGGUAUUGUGAGAACAACUUCAUGAAAACUUACACAAAAUAGAUAAAUAUGAUAAGUAUCAAUUAUAAUGAGAUUAUAAAUAACAAAAAUGAUAAAUAUCAAAUCUAAUAAAUGGUAUCUACACAAAAUGAUAAUCAUUUACAAAUCCAAUCAUAGUAACUCUAUAUUCUAAUGAUGUAGGUAGUAUAGAUCUAAUCGAGAGAUAGGUUAAGCACUGUCUCAAGCUAAUGUGGACUAGUUCAACAUUAUAUCAUGAGGUAAUCAAAUGAUCCAUAUCAGGUAAGGUCAUUCACUUUUCGUAUGAGGCAUAAAUGUUGAAACAUGAUAAGGUUUCUAUCAAUUUCUAAACACACUUCAUGGAUUCAUACAAUGUGACAUACUCAUCUCGAUAUUGAAUCAGCUCAUUAAUUAAAUCUUGUCACACUUGUACCUUACCAUCUAUACCCAAUCCAUGCAAUCUAGCAAUAAAACAAAAAUCACAAUGUCCAUCUACUUUAAUAUCAAUGAUGGUCUGUAUAUAUGGAUGUAACUCGACUGAAAAAUUAAAUAAAUAUCAUAUUUUUUUGUUUACUAUGUGAACACUAAACAAGAAGUUUAUCGAUAUGUGUCGUCACUUUUACUGAAUUCAUAGUGCUUGGCGGUGAUGUACUAUUAUGUACAGAUAACAAAAUCUCCUAUUGUGAUGGGUCACAUUACAUAGAUUUGUUUGCUUUAUUUGCUCUGCAAUCUUUUAUCUUAGCAAUCUCUAGUUGUGGAAUCAAGAUAGUUAUUGUCAAAUUGUCUAGUUCUCAUAAGGUUCUUUUCAUGACUAAUUUACCAAACUCAUCACACUUGUCAAAGCGUUUUGUGAUUUACUCAACCUCGGAUUUAAUGAUCAAUUCUUCAUAUAUGUUAUCCACUUGGCUCUUCAUUAAAUCCAAUUAUUUCCAAUAAGGAUGUACUUUAAUAAAAAAAUUAGACUUCCCACCCUUAUGUGUUCUAUAAUUUCACAUUCAUAAAGUAAUCUAUGUGUGCAUCUGAUAAUGCAACCACAACAUUGCUUGUUAAUCCUAACUUGAUUUGCUCACUUUGCCUCCAUGAUUAUCAUAUCGAGUGAGCUUUUAGAUAUCAAAUCUCAUAUGUCUUUAAACAAAGAAGGCUUAAAAGUAUGCUCAACAACUAUAAGACUUUUCUAAAAUAAAACCUUUAUCUUUCUAUGUUGUAGGUCAAUAAGGUUGUUAAUUAUAAUCUAUGAUAAUUUAAAAUCUCAUUGAGAUGAUCCAAAAUGUCUUUUCAAUUUCGAAUGUGCAUUCUUAUCUCUAAACAAAUCUAUAAAGGUAUAUUACAAUGAAUGUCUUAUUAUGAAUCAUGCAAAUCUAAACAAUCUUAAUAAAAAGCUAAACCAAAUCAUACCUAUUUGUUGAAACAUUUUCAAAGUGCAUUACUUUAUCCAUCCAAGCAGCAACAAAUUUCUCAUUAUGUUUUGUCAAUCAUUGCUCCUCCAUAUACAUGAUUGCAACUAGAUAAGUUUGGUUAUCAAUCUCUAAAUAACUUAGAUGUCUUUCGUACUUAUCAUGGGUAGAAGAAAACACAAGGACACUAUAACUUGACAUGGAUGCCUCCCACUUAUCUUUUCUCUCAAAAAAUAUUUUACAAUUUGCAAACAUGUUUCUUGAUAUAUGAAAUUUGCAUAGAAGAUUUGUUAUGUUAGGAAACAUAGCCUAUAUUGCAUUCAUCAAUGCCAAAUCUCUAUUAGUAACAAUGACAUUAGGAAAUAUAAUAGGAAGCAUUAAACCUUUUAAUGUCAACAAUGCCCAACUGUAGUUGUCAUAAUGCUUAGCCUUCAUGUAUACAAAUGUAAUAGAUAAUAUCAUCUCAAUGAAGUAACACCAAUAAUCUCACACAAAUGGAAAUGAUAUCUAUUUGUUUAUAGAUGCAAUCUAUAAUAACGAUACUUGAAAAAACAUGCAACAAAUCUAUACCAGUAGGGUACACCUAGAACAAGUCUCUCACACAGUCACUUGAAUCGUUUGUCCUAUGUCACUCCACGUAUUUACAAUCAAACAACUUUUUUCAUUAGUUGUUACAUUUAUGAUCUAGCAGCUUUCUCAAAAUAUUUGUUUAUUUGACAUUCAUUAUAUAUAGUAUUUAUAAUGUUGACAUUCUUCUCAUCAUGUUGUUUUAUGGUCAACAAUAUGUUUUUAGGUUUGACCAUACAGUUUGACAUACCAGCCACUAUUGUUUUUCUUUUGUCAAACAACCGACCCACAAAUGAAUGUUUCUCUAAUUGUUUUGCUGGUAGAUAAUUGUGAAACCCAUAAACUACCCUCACACCCAUUCAUCAUUGCUUGCCAAUUUAAACCCAUAUAACUAAAAUGGGAAUCACACCUUUUUGUCUCUGUUCCCUUACACAGUAUUUCUUUUACAUUUGUCAUAUUCUUUUGCUGCUUAUAUUUUUCACUACAUUCAUAUAUGAAUCUGAUUCUAGGUUUUCUACCUAGACAUCCUAAAUUAGAGUUUUUAAACACCAUUACAAAACUAAUAUCUUUUCCUACCUGUCUUACUAAAGAAAUAAAUGCUUCCCUGCUACAAAUUAACAACUACACAAUAAUUUGAAUUGUCAUAUUUUGCAUUUACAAAAACUAACAUUAAAAAAGCAAUCUUUAUGCCUUCCAAAGUUUACUUUAAAAAUAUAAUAUUAUCUUUUCAGUAAUAAAUAAAAAACUACAAUCAUAUUUGGCAUCAAAAUUCUUUGGUGAUUUAUUCCACUUUAUCAGUGUAAUUUUCAAAUUAUUCUGAAUGUUAAUUAAAUAAAAAUAAAAAAAUAUUGCUUCCAGAAAUGCAUUUUUUGUUCAUUGUAGUGUUUUUCAAAAAUACAUUUUUAGUACAUUGAAAAGUUUUCAAAUAUUUAUUUCUAGUAAAUUUCCCAUGUUUUCGAAAAUUAUUUUUUGUUAAAUUUCUUGCAUUUCUAAAAAUAAAUUUCCCAAAGCUACUAAAUAAUCAUAGAUACCAUAAUGUUUAGAUCCGUAGACCUAUCGCUAGACAUUGACUUGAAGAGUCGUCACCAAUCUUUUUUGUUUAGGUGCAAUUGGUUACCUAACUGAAUUUAUCUUUUUUAAAGAGAAUUCCUAAGUUCGAAAAAAGUAAAUUCAAUGUCUGUGAAAUCAGAACUAGGUCUAAGAGUACAAUUAUGUGUGAGGAAAGUUAUAACACCUCACAAUGCCCAUCGAAAGAUGGUACCAGCUCAAUUUCAUGUUAUCCGAUAAGCCUUAAAAAUUUUACCAAGUAAUUAAUUAUUAAAAAUUAUUCUUAAUUAACUCCAAUACUUUUGACAAAAAAUUUAAAAAAUUUUCUCACCUCAAGAGUAUGUAAGAAAACUAUUGUUUCUCUUGCAGAAGUUCUAUUGUCGAAUUAUUUAACAUUUAAAAAUUUUUCAAAGAAAGAAAGAAAAAAAAAGAAAAAAAUAAUGAUUUGACUUUUGAUAUAAAUAUUUUUCUUUUUAUUUUAUAUAAAAAAAUCAUUGCUUUUAUACAAGAAAAAUUGAAACUUUCAACUUUUCCUAAAAAAUAUUUUUCUUGAUAAUUUUUAUUUUUUAAGGAAAAUUGGUACUUCCAACUUUUCUUCAAAAUAUUUUUUUUAAAAUUUGAUUUUCAAGAAAAAUUGAUACUUUUAACUUUUUCUCAAAAAUAUUUUUUUUAUUUUAUUUUUUAUUUUUAAGAAAAAUUCAUCUUUCAACCUUUCCUCAAAAAUAUAUUUUUUUAAAUUUUAUUUUUAAAAAAAUUAUAGAAAAAUGAAGAAAAAUAAUUUCAAUUUAAUCAAUAAAUAAAUAGACAGAAAUAAUAAUAAUAAUAAUAAAAUGAAAAAAAAUUUUAACGCAGCUCGAUUCAGCGACUAAAACGACUUGGCUUGAGGCACAAAAGUGGCAAAAAGGCGUGGCUCAGGUGGUUCGGCUUGGCUUGACUUGAAGAUCGGCUGGAACAUAGGUCAGCCAGAAACGGGUUAAUCCGAAUCAAAAUGCGCGGAUCUUGGGAUCUCUUAAUGCCCAAAACGACGUCGUUUUGUGAUAGUAUAAAAAGCUGAAUUUGAUCUUUCUCUUCCUUUCAUUUUCUCUCCCUCUCUCUCUAAGAUUCAAGACCGCAGGUUGAAUCCUUUAUCAAAUUCUGGGAUUUUCGUCGGAAUCUGGGUAGGGUCACUGGAUUCUAGCUGAAAGUUCAUCGAUUUUUAGGAAAAUAAAGGCCAAAAACUGGAAAACUUCACUAGAAACUUUUAAUAUUGCUGGAAAAAUCGUCGAAAAAUUUAAAUCUUGCCAAAAAAUUUAUUGAAAUCUGAAAUUUUUUCAGAAAUUUUUCAAAAAAAAAAACAACAAAUUUCAAAAAUUUUUCUAAAAAUUAUAGACCUACCUUUAAACUUUUUCACUUUUGUUUUCUUUCUGUGUGCUUUCUGUGUGUUUUUGUUUUUGCUUCUGAUUAAUAGGUAUUUAUAGGAUGCUAGAUUCAUUCCCAUUUUUAUUAUUUUUAAAUAUUCUGAUUAUUAUCUCCUAACCGAAAAUUAAUCUGAAAAAGAAAAGAAAGAGAAAAAAAAUUUUAGAAGAAAAACAAAUCAAUAAAUCAAUAAAUUACAUAAAAAUAAUAAUCAAUUAAACCUAAAUCUUUGGGUUUGACUAACCCCAUUUAGACCAAGCCCAAUUGAUUCGAGCUUAGAUCAAAUUAGGUGUCUACACUGGAUAUGUAUAUCCGGUUACAUAAAGAUUCUUUUAGAAAUUCAUUUAUGAUAACUCAUAUUUGAACACAUAUAGAUACUUUCGGAAAUAAAUUUUUAUAAACUCAAUAUAUUUUUUAGAAAAAGUAAUUUUAGAAAGUGUGAAUUUAGAGAUAAAAUCAACUUACUUAAUUGUCAUCUCCCAAAUCUUCAUUACUUAGUUGUUUCUCUUAAGUUCACUUUUCAAUUUGACAGUAUAUAAGAUAUUACAAAUUUUGAUUGUGAAUUUUGAUAACAAUAUAUCUUGUUGCUAGGAAGAACGAGAGAAGAAAGUUGUUAGAAAGAAAAGAAGAAGAGAAGAGAAAAGGAGAAGAAGAAAAGGGUGCAUGAAAGAUAAAAAAGUAAUUUAUUAAUGGAUAUUUAAAUAAUUUUAUUAAAGAUUAAGUCUAUAAUAUAAGUUUUAGAGUGUAGUGAGUAAAUUUUGGGGUGCAAAUAGAACCUUUCUUUUAAAUAUUAGAUUUUUGGGCAUUUAAAAUGACACCAAGGUAAUAGAUAUACGCUAGAAAGGAGUGUGGGUCAUUUUAGGUGUAGAUUUUCUAAGGAUUGGGUUGCUAGAAAGACAUGUGGGUCAUUUUUCAAUAACAAUGUACUAGGUGUAUAUUUUUCCAAGGACUGGGUUAUUGAUCGAGUGAUUCCGGCUCAAGUCAAGUUUGGCCUUGGACAAGCUUUUUUAAGCUUAGGUUUGGUCCAACCAAAGUUGAAAUAUUAUUUAAUUAAUAAAAUUAUUUUAUAUAAUUUUAGUUAUAAAAUAUACUUAAAAUAAUAAUAUAUUAAUAUAUUUUUAAAAAAAAUUUAAAAAAAAAUUUUAUUUUUUUUUAGCAAAAAUAUCAUGAGUGAGGCCAACUGGGCUCAUGAACAAGUCUAGUUAGGCUUUGCAGGCAAAUUCCAGACAUUUUAAACAUUGAAAUGUUGAAACUUUAAAAUGAUAUCAAUUAAACAUGGAAAGUGUUAUACUUUUGGUUGUAUAAAAUGCCACUAAUAUAAAUUAUCUAUGUUUCUCAUGGUUUACUAUGCCUUUAAAAUUUGAAAAUACAACAACUUAGUUGAAGUGUAAUUUGUUUUGAGUUUAGCGGCAUCAGAUAAAGAUAUGAGGAAAAUUUUUGGUUAAAUGCCAAUUCUCUCGACAAGGUCAGUUUCAGUGGUCAUGCGUGCAGCGUUUUAGAGUUGUGCCAGUGGAAGUGAGCUUCACGAACGACAUUUUAAGGCGUCUUACAGUGGUCAUAUAUCAACAUAUAACUAUCAAUCUUCCUUUAAAAACUUUUCAUAUUAUAUUCUAUUCCUAAAUUAUAUGCUUUUGCAACAUAAAAAGUUCCGAAGGUUAUUGAAAACUGGAAAAUAAUUAAAGCUUUACAAUAAAUUAAGCCCAUGCUUUAUUCGUAUCUAAUAAUGAUUUUAAGACCAAGAAAAAUUACUUAGUGAACUAAAUAAGAAAAAUAAAAAUAAAAAUUUUAAAAUAAAAAUUAUGGUAUUAAGAAGAAAACCUAUAGUGAUCUUAAAAUCGAGCUGGUAAUAGCGUACAAAACAAAUUUUUUUACAAAUGCACUCUAUAUUUCAAUUUUAAUUGAAUCAAUAUAAUUCGGUUAAUUAAUUAGUAGACCAUUAAAUUAAUUUUGAUCGGCUAUCAAACAUGAUUUUAAAAGAAUUUUGAUUUUCGAUUAAUUUAAUUCAAGAAUUGAAUUAACCUAAGUUUUAACUAAAAUAUAAAAAAAAAAAACCAAAACUAAAACUAAAAAGAUAUGAAGUAAACCAUUUCAUUUUAUAAACUGUUAGAGUUUUUAAUUUAAUGGUAUUAAAUAUUUUAUUGGACAAUUUUAUUUAGUUUUUUUCAAAUAUAAAAAAUUAGGGUUUAAAAUAUAAUUUAACUUAAAUAUAUUUUAUUAUUUUAUCAAUUCUAAAAUUAACCAAAUUAAAUUUGAUUUAUUAGAUUUUCAAAACUAAUAAAUUCAAUACAAUUAAUAAAAAUAAAAUAGCAUAUAAUUUUAUUUUGAUUCACUCAAUUCAAAAUUAAUCAAAUUAAUGUAAUAAACAUCCUUUGCCACUCUUAACCCUAACCCUAAGCAUGUAUAAAGUAUAUAAAUUGAGAGUGCAUUAAAUAUAAACUCUUUAUUUUUAGAAUUUUAAAAUUUAAUAUUAAUUUUUUAAUGAAUUUUCUUUGAUAUCUACACACUGACAUUAGAUGAAAUAUAAACUGUUAAUAUUUAUAUAAGGUAGGGUAGGUACUAGGUAGUGCAGAGAUACGUGGAUGGCACCAAAGACCAAACCCUAAUUCCAUUGAAUUGGAAGGAAAGAGUGAGACAGGGAAUUGGGAUCAAUCUCACACCGCCCAUUAAAUUGACAAACAAAAAGAUUCCUAGUGGGAAGGGCACGUUAGUGAGUUCAGGGGCCUUAAAUAACGACUAUGAAAUGGAAACGUUAUUGCCAAAAAUGGUGGGAAUUUGCACCUGCAAAGUUCUUUGAUUUAGCUAAAACUACAACGUCCUCUCUGCCCUUUCGGCAAAUUACAAUUCCAACGCCUUUUUCCAACUCAUAGACUAAGACUCCCCCAUCUCUCUCUUCCUUUUGUAUUCAUUCUAGCUCAUUAUCUCCCCCUCUCUAGAUUGACAAACAAAGCAAAGGGCUAUCAGCCGAUCUACAGACCAAACAUUUUUCCUUCUUUGGAAUUCGUAAUUUUCCGAAAGCUGAAGUGACCGGAAGUGUGACCAAAGCUCAGGUCUGUCCGUGGGCUUUUUCAUCUUCUUUGAAAGAAGAUCUUGUCAAAAUAUGUAUAUACUUACUUUUUAUAACAAUAUCUGUUUACCUAAAUGCAUGGUUUUUUUGCUUUUCUUAAGAGGUUUAUAUAUCUUCUUAGAUCUGUUGUCAGAGCAAGGGAAUCUUCUAUAUACAUCCUUGCAUGAAGAAGAUCUCUUUUCCAUUUCUUUCCCUUCUUUUCUCAGCAUAAUCACAGAUAAUUCUUUGGUUUCCAACAAAAUACAUGAUGGGUUUUCUUCGUUUGUCAUCCCUACUUGAUCUUCAGACGAUGCUUUUUCUUCUUUUCCUUGAUUGCCACUGCUUUAAUACCUUUGUCAUACCUAUAUUUUAUGGUUUGAAUUUCGGACAAUCUGUACAGAUCUGUUCAAAUCUCUUCAACUUCCGUUCCUUUAGAGUUGAUAUCCUUUUCUUUUCAAGUUUUUAUCAGCCAAAAAUAAUAGAAGUUCUCUAUCCUUUUCUAGGUCUCCGUUGAGGGCCUAUGCUAGACUAGUGCGACCGUAUACGCACGCACAUUCAUACUGGAGAAAGAGGAUGGGUCUAUAUUUAUGAAAUAAAUAAAACCCAAAAAUCUUGUUCAUUUUUACUAGCUAAAGAUUGAAAGUUUCUCGGAAGAUAGGGUAUGGGAAUGACUAACUUUUUCUCCAUGCCCUUCUUAUUAAUUGAUGCAGGUUUUCUCAGUGGUUUUGCAACCUUUAUUACUUCUACUUAAGUCAGAAACAAUCCAUUGUUUUGGAUCUGCUUCUACUCACAAUUUUCUUCUUAGCUUUUCAUCACUUUUUUUACUGAUCACAUCAGAUAUUUCCAAACCCAAAAAACCAAAAGAAAAGAAAGAAAAGAAGCCUUAGGAGACAAAUUCUAAGUCGCCAGGGUGUAUUGCUGCAGGUUGUUUAGGAAGAAUUCUGUGAACUGAAAAAGGGUUAAUUUGGUGAAGAUGGGAAGAGGAAAGAUCGAGAUCAAGAGGAUUGAGAACACCACCAAUCGUCAGGUUACCUUUUGCAAGCGCAGGAAUGGGCUGCUCAAGAAAGCUUACGAACUUUCAGUCCUUUGUGAUGCGGAAGUGGCUCUCAUUGUCUUCUCCAGCCGUGGCCGCCUCUAUGAGUACUCCAAUAACAAGUAAUUAACUUCUCUUUUCUUCCUCAAAUCUCAAUCUCACCUCAUGCUAUUUUUGGUUGUGAAUUGUGAUUGCUUUGCUUGGGAUCAAUUUCUGGCUUGUGGGUUCAUUUUUUUAUGUCAUUUAUUUUAAUCACAUGCAUGGUUUGAACAUUCUUCACAAGAAAAAGCUUUGACAAAAAACAAGAAUGGGACAAUGUAUUUUCUGAGCUGAAAACAGAAAGUGAGCAGACAAUGGAAGUCAGCCAAAUCUUAAGUUAAGUGGCUGUGAUUUUUAGCUAUUUUGGAGAGUGUCAGAAGCUAUUAUCAUAUAUAUAUAUAUUAUGAUAUUAUAUUAUAUGUUUUAUGAAUUUAGAUAUUUAAUUUCAUAUCUCUUGCAUGUAUAGCUGAGUUUCUUUUCUCUGUUAAAAUUACCAUUUCUUAUUUCUGGAAAUACGGGCAAAGUCUAGUCGAUCGGCAGCUAUCUUAAAAACGUUUAUAAUGACUUAUCCUAAAAAAUAAAAUAAAAAAUUUUAUAAUCUAAUUAAAUAUCUUUAGAUUUGUUAUCCUUAAUACUUAUAUUAGAGAAUGCAUGAAGUUCUCCUAUAUCAACUCCAUAUAACUGAAAGUUAAUACUUUUUUUCUGUCAAAAUAAAAUUUUAUUAAAUAGUAAUCAAAAGGUUACAAAUAUGGAACCUAAAGGUUUGAAAGACCUACAAAACACUAAAAAUCUAAUAUGAUAUUAUAUCAAUAGUAAAUAAGAUAUCCAAGAGCAGUGACAACUGAUAACAACAAAAGUUCAAACAUUCACAAAAACCCAAAAUCGAAUAAUCAAUAAAACUAAUCUAAAAACCCAGAUUACUAAGGAACUUGAACUUGCACAAAAAAUAAAUGCACCUUUCUCUUUAUCCUGGACCAAAGCACAACCAGAUCUUGAGAAUUCAAUCAGGAAGGCUCCAACAAAGCAACAUGUCAGCAACUCCUUCCAUCAAUUGCUAGCAAAGAUAUCAGAAACAUCGAAUGACCCAUCAGAAUACUUUACUAGAAAAAAGAAACUAAGAUUCCAAUUAAACACCAAUCAAACGGACUCCGAACUACUUUCCUCAUGAGCUUGCUUUUCUUUCUUCAUUUUCAUAAAUUUUUUUUAAUUACGAUAUCUUCCUCUUGAUAAGAAAGACCAAUCUUUUUUUCCAAUUCUGACGGCUUCAUCAUACAAAGUACUUAUAUUUUGGAUUAAUAAAGAUAGAAAGUAAAUAUAAUUUUAGGUCCAAUGAUAAAUGCAGAGUCUCUCGGAUCAUGCUAUCUAAUAAACUUUAAUGAACUUUAUAUUGUUCAUGUGUCUUAGCACAAAUGAACUCCAUAAUUUUCAAGUGUCUUAGCACAAAGGUCAUAUCUCCGCCUUCAUUUUUGUCUUGCAACUGUAUUAAGGUUUCUUAGGUUUUUUUAUCACUACCAAUUUUAUAGAAAUUCACAACAACAAAAUUAUCGUUAUAUAAAACAUAAAAAAUCCAAAUAAGUUAUAACAAUUAAAAAUAUUAAAAAUAUAAUAAUAUUUUACAACGAUAUUUUUAUUCGUUACAAUUGUAGUUGCUAAUAAUACAUUUUCUAAUAGAGUUCUUUGUUUUCCUUUCAAAGUCCGUAUGCUUUUUUUUUCUUCUUCUUCCUUCAUGUUUGAAGACUUCUAGCCGAUGCCAAGUGCCUUGAGCUUUUGGCUUUUACACAAUUGAAAUUGUGUUUCACUUUCCACCAAAAUUGUCAAGUCUCUAUUACAGAAACAGUGACCCUACGACUUGGGAGGUCAAUAAUGGGUUAAAGGAUCUAUGGAUUAAGUAUACAUAAUGUUAUAAGUGAAAAAAUCUUUGGUUUUCUUAGUAGGUUUCGAAUUAUCAAAUGAAUUAUUGUGAACACUUAAUUUUAUCUGAUGUCAUUUGAAAUUGUUUUGAAUCCCAAUUGUGGUGAGCUAUGAACUAGUCCAUUCUUUGGUGGAGUUGUUUAUGAUUUGGACCUCUUAAAUCAAAGGCUUAAUGAGUUAAUUUUGGUUUAAUUUAUGGUAUUGGAUUUUAAAAAAUAAAUCAAAUAAAUAAAUUUAAAAUUUUAGGAAUAAAUCUCAAGUGAAGGAGAGUUUUUGGACUUGAAAUGGCUCCGGCCGAUGGUGUUUGGCAACGACUUGUGAAGGCUGACGUGGUGCUCGCUAGUUGAAAUCUGAAAAACUAGGUUGAAAGAUCAUUUGAGAUGUAAAAGAGAGGGAGGAUAAUAAAAUUAGAGAGAGAAGCUAGCCAAAAGAAAUGAAAGAAGAAGACAAAAUUUAGCUUUUAUAGCAGCAUGAAACACUGUAUUUCAAUUAAGUAAAGAAGAUCCAUGCCUCAACCCGGAUUUCGAUGCGGAGCUCGCGCUUGAAACCCAAACCUGUAAAUUCAACACUAAGCCGCACCACUGAGUCAAGCCAAGAUUUUAGCCUUUCCAAGCUAGUUUCUGUUCCUUCAACUGAGCCAUUUUCUAAUCCUCGUCAAGCCGAU
RNAcentral lists this long non-coding RNA (53842 nucleotides) under Durio zibethinus. RNAcentral's name for it is "long non-coding RNA (DZIB_LNC001386)". Lineage: Eukaryota; Viridiplantae; Streptophyta; Magnoliopsida; Malvales; Malvaceae. The record is from RNAcentral.